This 57512-nucleotide long non-coding RNA is filed under the name Triticum aestivum (bread wheat). Its description in RNAcentral is "long non-coding RNA (TAES_LNC018848)". The record is from RNAcentral. Lineage: Eukaryota; Viridiplantae; Streptophyta; Magnoliopsida; Poales; Poaceae.
AAGCAUCCAAGCACAUCCACACAAGCAAAUGCCAAUUGUGAAAGAGAUCAUGCCAUGGCAGCUAUAAAUAGGCCCGUAGCAUGACGAUCAUCCUUCCUCAUCCAUCAUUCUCAUAAGUAGAGCGCAUCAUUUAAGCCAAGCAAGCAGUGCUCAAUACAAAUCCACCAUGAAGACCUUUCUCAUCCUUGCCCUCCUUGCUAUUGUAGCAACCACCGCCACAAUUGCAGUUAGAGUUCCAGUGCCACAAUUGCAGCCACAAAAUCCAUCUCAGCAACAACCACAAGAGCAAGUUCCAUUGGUACAACAACAGCAAUUUCCAGGGCAGCAACAACCAUUUCCACCACAACAGCCAUAUCCGCAGCCGCAACCAUUUCCAUCACAACAACCAUAUCUGCAGCUGCAACCAUUUCCGCAGCCGCAACUACCAUAUCCGCAGCCGCAACCAUUUCGACCACAACAACCAUAUCCACAACCGCAACCACAGUAUUCGCAACCACAACAACCAAUUUCACAGCAGCAGCAGCAGCAGCAACAACAACAACAACAACAACAACAGAUCCUUCAACAAAUUUUGCAACAAUAACUGAUUCCAUGCAGGGAUGUUGUAUUGCAACAACACAGCAUAGCGCAUGGAAGCUCACAAGUUUUGCAACAAAGUACUUACCAGCUGGUGCAACAAUUGUGUUGUCAACAGCUGUGGCAGAUCCCCGAGCAGUCGCGGUGCCAAGCCAUCCACAAUGUUGUUCAUGCUAUUAUUCUGCAUCAACAACAACAACAACAACAACAACCGUUGAGCCAGGUCUGCUUCCAACAGCCUCAACAACAAUAUCCAUCAGGCCAGGGCUCCUUCCAGCCAUCUUAGCAAAACCCACAGGCCCAGGGCUCUGUCCAGCCUCAACAACUGCCCCAGUUUGAGGAAAUAAGGAACCUAGCGCUAGAGACGCUACCUGCAAUGUGCAAUGUCUAUAUCCCUCCAUAUUGCACCAUUGCUCCAGUUGGCAUCUUCGGUACUAACUGAGAAUAGAAUAACUCUAGUAGUAGAUAUAUGAUACACCGUUUUCUUAGUCCAUGGUUUGGUCGUUGUAGCGGUGAAAAAAUAAAGUGACAUGCACUAUCAUGUAAGAACCCGAACUAUACUAUUUCAAACAUGGGAAUAAAAGACAAACACAUGUCUUGUCUACAUAUGAUUGUUUGUUUGAGUUCCACUCAUGUGCCCACUCACAAGUUCACCCCUAAUUAUAUAUAUUAUGCAUUAAGUAGAUAUUUAUGUUGCAUUAAUCUAAAGAUAACAAAAUGAGUCUGAAAUUUGAAUUAAAUUGAAGUAUUUCCUUGGACUUUCAAAUGGAGUAUUAUUAAAGUAGUAAGGACUAUCCACAUCCUUGGCUUGCCCUUGAUCAAUUAUUUCCAGAGAAGCAUUCAAUUCAUCAAUCAAUUACAUUGAUUUUUGUGGCUGGUACUUCUCCUCAACAUGAGUAUAUUCAUCGCGGCUACUCCAAAUAGCCAUGAAUGAGGUACCGGUGCUCUGGAGCACUGGUACCUAACUGCUUCUCAUGUGAAGGGGUGCGGGCGCGGGAGAGGUGUUUUUGGUGGGCCAGGGGAGUAAGAAGCGGCCGUGGCAGCGGUCCAGACGCCCACAAAGCCCCGUAGUUUGUUUUUGGUUUACAGGAAAAUGCACAUCCAGACUGGCCUGCGGGCCGAUAUAGGACCGUAUUGGAUGGCAAAACAUGUCCGGAUGGUCGCGAGCGGUUUAAGGGUUAGCUUUUGUAACACCCGGUUAGUUAUGCUAUGGUAAUUCCCUGCUAAUGAUGUCACGUCAGCACGAUUACUGUUGUUAACCUCACAAUGAUUCAAUCCCAUUCAAAUUCAAAUUUAAAAUAAAGGCAAACAUCAAAAGUUUCAAACAUUAAAACUAAAAUCUUCGAGAGGUGAAAAAUAAUGCAUAAGUAAUUAUGGUGGAGAAACCACACUUUUAUAAAAUGUUUAAAUACUCUAAAAAUAAUAAAACAGUGGCUUAAACUAUUAUUUAAAUGCUUUUAAAAUAGUAAAAAUGUUCUAACUAAAUUAAUUGGGUACCAAACUUUUGGUGGCAGUGGUAUAUUUAGUAGAACUAAUUUAGAUGCUAAUAAAACAUAAAAGGAAAGACAAAACAAAUAAAAGUAAAAGGGGGCAACCCUUGGCUGGGCCUCGGCCAAGCUGGGCACUUGGCUAGCUAGGUUGGCCCAACCGCCUCCCUUAACCCCCCACUCCCCAUCGAACCCUAGACCGAUCGCCCCACUUCCCCCCCACCCCCUCGUCAGCCUCCCCACCUCUCGAUCCCAUCUGGAUCGGGGAGGGGAUCGCCUUCAUCGACCCCGUCGCGGUCGCUGGAUCGCCCGCUCGCCCAUCGCCCGCCGGCGUCGCCGGACCUCCUCCCCGUCGCAUGUCUCCGGCUCUCCUCCCCUCUCGCUCCUCUUCCCCGACCCGAUCUAGAUCGGGAAGGGCCAAUGAGCCCAACGCCCCCCUCCAUCGACGCUGUGCUCCAGCACCGCCGCCCGAAGACCUCGCCAUCGCCGGACCUCGCGUCGCCUCCUCGUAUCCCUCCCCGACUCGCCUCCUCAAGCCACGCCGACCCCCUCUCGGCAACGCCGUGAGCCGCACCCGUUUCCCUCCUUCUCUUUCCACCGUGUUCACCGCGCCGCCUGCCGUGCCCCUCGCCGCGCGCACGCCCACCACCGCGCCAGCCCCCGCUCCCGCCCUCUCCUGCACGCUUGUGCGCGCAUGACCCUAGCCGCGCCCACGCCGUGAUCCCCUUGUCCCGCCCGCCUUCGUCCCGCGCUCGCCGCGGCCCCCAUGCUCCCCUGCGCCCUCUUUUGGGGCCGUCGGCUGCCCCUGUCCCGCAGCUCGCUGGCAUGCGUCCCCGCCUGCGCCUCGCCACCGCUCUACUGCUACGCUACUAUUGCGCUGUGGCCGCCGCCGCUUCCCGCUGCUCUGCCAGCGCCAAAGCUCCUGGUUGGCCCUGCCGCUGCUCGCGUUUAACCGCCGGCCUAAGCGGCCUAACCUCCCCCCUCGCUAAUGAACCCCCACCGACCCGCUGACACCGGGACCCACAUCCCCUAAUUAACCAUUUAAUAAAUUAAAACUCUUAAAUUAACAUUAGUGUAUGACAUGUGGGUCCCCUAUUAAUUAAACUGAUUUAAUUAAAAUCUAUUAACUUUGAGUCUAUGACAUAUGGGCCCCACUAAACAUUUGACCAAUCAACGGUCCAGUCAAAUGCUGACCGGACAGUUGACCAGAGGGCCCCGCCAGUCAGCCAAUGUGCUGUUCUGCUGGGUACCUUUCUAAGUACACCUAGCAUUUUGCAUUUACAAUAUUUGUUUUAAAAUAAAUUAGAAUAAUUUCAAAAAAAUAUUAAAACUUUUAAAAUUAAAAUAAAAUAAUCCGUAACUCGGAUGAAAUUACUUUAUACAUGGAAGUUGCUCAAAAAAUGAGACGAAUCCGAAUACACAGUCCGUUCGUCUGCCACGCGUCCCUAGCAUAGCGAACAUGCAACCAUCCCCCUCCGGUUCGACUGUCCGAAAAAUUAUUAUUGCACAUGCCCGCUAAGAGGUUGGCUGUAUAUGACAUGACAACUUCUUAUAGCCGAGCCUUGGCUGUAUUAUUAACCAUGCUCUUAGUGAGGUAGCUAGUAUAUCAUAGACGACUAGCUAGUAUCAGACUAGCCAAAGUGGGAGUAACUUCAGCAGUAACAUCGACUCCAACUCAGCAAACUUCCUUAUGUGGGAGUAAACCGUGCCCAAUGCAAAAUACAAUCCCAGUCGUAAUUUUUUCAGGAAACGUGUGGGAUCCCAAACGAAAAGCACACGUCACUCUUGCGGCAACCGUCGGUGACACCCAAUAAAUCACAAACGGUCUGCAGCAGCUGUAUGUGUGCAAAGGGGCUCCUGAACCGUUUGUGAUAGAACAUUAUCGCAGACGGUAAUUGUUGGCAAACGUGUGCGAUGGAGUCUAGCAUGGCAGACGGGUUACGCAGAAAACUCGUGUGUGAUGGGGCACAAAUCGCACACAGUUCAUAUGUUGGUCCAUGUGCCUUACAUACUAUUUCCCAAAUGGUUUGUUACGACAGACCGUAUCGUUUCAGUGCGUCAUUAGAAACGCUUAAUCACUGAUACCACACGUGCGAAAGAAAUUAGUGCGUGAUGCAUCGCACACGAUUACAUUUUGGAAGGCCUCUGGAUCACUGCUCCAUAUCCCCGACGGUUUCUGGGCCGUGUGGGAAGGACACCCUAUCGCACACACUCACUUGGCGAUGGUUCCAAAUGCUGUCGCAGAAAAGGGUUAAAAACAGUUUGUUUAGGACCGACGCGUACCAGUGUCUAUCUAUCUAUCUAUCUAUCUAUCUAUGUAUCUAUCUAUCUAUCCAUCUAUCUAUCUAUCUAUCUAUCUAUCUAUCUAUCUAUCUAUCUAUCUAUCUCAAUCCACCUAUCUAUCUAUCCAUCUAUCUAUCUCUCCAUCUAUCCAUCUAUCUAUCCAUCUAUCCAUCCAUCUACUAUCCAUCUAUCUAUCCAUCCAUCCAUCUAUCUAUCCAUCCAUCCAUCUAUCUAUCUAUNNNNNNNNNNNNNNNNNNNNNNNNNNNNNNNNNNNNNNNNNNNNNNNNNNNNNNNNNNNNNNNNNNNNNNNNNNNNNNNNNNNNNNNNNNNNNNNNNNNNNNNNNNNNNNNNNNNNNNNNNNNNNNNNNNNNNNNNNNNNNNNNNNNNNNNNNNNNNNNNNNNNNNNNNNNNNNNNNNNNNNNNNNNNNNNNNNNNNNNNNNNNNNNNNNNNNNNNNNNNNNNNNNNNNNNNNNNNNNNNNNNNNNNNNNNNNNNUCUAUGUAUCCAUUUAUCCAUUGAUCCAUCUAUCGAUCCAUCCAUCCAUCCAUCUAUCCAUCAAUCUAUCUAUCCAUGUAUCCAUGUAUCCAUCUAUCCAUCUAUCGAUCUAUCCAUCCAUCUAUCUAUCUAUCUAUCCAUCUAUCCAUCUAUCGAUCUAUCCAUCUAUCUAUCUAUCCAUCCAUCUAUCGAUCUAUCGGUCUAUCCAUCUAUCGAUCUAUCCAUCUCUCCAUCUACCCAACUAUCCAUCUAUCCAUCUAUUCAUCUACCGAUCUAUCUAUCCAUCUAUCUAUCUAGCUAUCUAGCUAUCUAGCUAUCUAUCUAUCUAUCUAUCUAGCUAUCUAGCUAUCUAUCUAUCUAGUUAUCUAGCUAUCUAUCUAUCUACCUACCUACCUACCUACCUACCUACCUAUCUAUCUAUCUAUCUAUCUAUCUAUCUAUCUAUCUAUCUAUCUAUCUAUCUAUCUAUCUAUCUAUCUAUCUAUCUAAAGGAAAUAUGCCCUAGAUGCAAUAAUAAAGUUGUCAUUUAUAGUUCGUUAUAUCAUGAUAAACUAGCGGAGUCACCCGCGCAUUUGCGCGGCUAGAUUGACUACAUAUAUUGUUAUAUUUGGGAUUAUUUUUCUAUGCCAAUUUUAUGGCCUCUUACUCAGAUAUUAUCUAAUUGAAUUUACCACCACCAUAUGUUAUAUCCAUAGAUUAUAAUGAAAAGGCAACUUCCGACGAAACAUGGACAGAUUAUUGAGUGCUCAGAAGACGGACGCAAUAUCAUAUAUAGACUUCUAUACCAAUCUUCAUGGUUCCCAUCUUUGAUCCUCUCCUCGUCCCUUGGUAUCUAUCUUUGCACCCAAUAUGUCUUUGGAGUUCCAAGAAUUGAAUCUUAGCAUGAAUGGCUUCAAUGUGUACCAAAUGUUCUCUUGUUCCUCCCAAAUUAAUUACUGGUUGCAUUCUUAGUUGCUUUGACAUUCUUGGUUAAUGCAAUUUCUUGCCUACCAAUAUAUGCAUCCACACACGAUCAUAUUUAUAUGACCACUUACCUCUGUAUUCUGGUAUUUGUGCUUCAGAAUUUUUCUCUCAUUCAGUUUAUUCAUAGAUUAAAAACGUCGAUCGUUUCUUUAUUGGUUUGCAUUAUCUUGUUUGCCGAACGUAAGCAUCCACACAUGCUCGUCAUGAUAUGAUUGGUCAUCAUUGUAUAUUUGUAUUUGUGUGUUGAUAGCUUAAGGAUUUUCUCGGAUUCACUUCAUAGUUUAAGGAUUUUCUCGCGUUCAAUUUAUUCUACCUUAUUCAUUUUCAUGUUUCUUUAUUGCAUUUAUAUCAAUUCUUACAAUAUAUUUUCCAAGAUAUGAACUCAACUACUAAUUACGUAGUUUUUCAUCAAAAAUUACAUGUAAAAAUGUUACAAAUGCAUAAACAUGAUAAAAAUAUAUAUCAUAUUCCAUUGAGAGAUCGCCCAUUUAAAAAAAACACGUUGACUUACAAAAAGGACAAUUCAAGCUGCAUGUACGUCCGACUCAUGUUUACCUGACAAUGUCGAUGUUGAUUUCAGCAGUAAAUGAGCUGUGUGUGACCUUUGCGCUUUCCGGUAUUCUUCUAACCUGUGUGCUUUAUGAUCAGUUUGUUGUGCUUAGUACUGGACACUUGAGUAUACUAUCAUAUUUGGUACAAAUAAAUCUGAACUACUAUAGUUAUGAUCCACUGUAUAGUUAAUGGUGGUGGUAAUUAAUAUAUGUGGUUAAAUACUUGCGCUCCUUAGGUGGGGAGUUGGAUUUGUAUUUCCCUAAAAUAAAUUUCAGAUUUCGUAAUAGUGGUGAAGCCAGCCGGAAGAACCUCUGCGUCAUUAUUAAUUUUGGUGAUAUUUUUCUUCAUAGUGUAGAAUAAUUUUAGUGCUUAUUCCGCAAAAAAUAUGGCCUCAACUGACCCCAUAGCUUGUAUGUUGCGCCACCACUGUUUCCUAUAUCCUAUUACAUCCGUUGUUUUUAGAUCUUGAUGCAUAACUUUGACAAUAUUUAAUAGAUAUGUGUCUGUAUAAAAAAUUAUAAAUGCUAUGAUAAUUUGAUUAAUUAUGAUGAAUAAAAUGUUAUUGCUCUGACUUGAUCCCUCUAGAAUUUUCCAAAAUUUCACAUUACAGUUGUAGUAGUGCAUGCUACCUCUUGAGCACUGCGUUAGUUUUCCCUUGAAGAGGAAAGGGUGAUGCAGUAAAGUAGCGUCAGUAUUUCCCUCGGUUUUUGAGAACCAAGGUAUCAAUCCAGUAGGAGGCCACGCAUGAGUCCCUCGCACCUACACAAACAAAUAAAAUCCUCGCAACCAACGCAAUAAAGGGGUUGUCAAUCCCUUCACGGUCACUUACGAAAGUGAGAUCUGAUAGAUUUGAUAAGAUAAUAUUUUUGGUAUUUUUAUGAUAAAGAUGCAACGUAAAGAAAGCAAAAUAAAAAAAGCGCCAGAAAUAGCUUGUUGACGGGAGAUUAAAAUAGACCGGGGGGCCAUAGGUUUCACUAGUGGCUUCUCUCGAGAGCAUAAGUAUUUUGGUGGGUAGACAAAUUACUGUUGAGCAAUUGACAGAAUUGAGCAUAGUUAUGGGAAUAUCAAGGUAUGAUCAUGUAUAUAGGCAUCACGUCCGAGGCAAGUAGCCCGACUCCUGCCUGCAUCUACUACUAUUACUCCACACAUCGACUGCUAUCCAGCAUGCAUCUAGAGUAUUAAUUUCAAAAGAACAGAGUAACGCUUUAAGUAAGAUGACAUGAUGUAGAGGGAUAAACUCAUGCAGUAUGAUAUAAACCCCAUCUUGUUAUCCUCGAUGGCAACAAUACAAUACGUGCCUUGCUGCCCCUACUGUCACUGGGAAAGGACACCGCAAGAUUGAACCCAAGCUAAGCACUUCUCCCAUCGCAAGAAAGAUCAAUCUAGUAGGCCAAACCAAACUGAUAAUUCGAAGAGACUUGCAAAGAUAACCAAUCAUACAUAAAAGAAUUCAGACAAGAUUCAAAUAUUGUUCAUAGAUAAACUUGAUCAUAAACCCACAAUUCAUCGGUCUCAACAAACACACCGCAAAAGAAGAUUACAUCGAAUAGAUCUCCACAAGAGAGGCGGAGAACAUUGUAUUGAGAUCCAAAAAGAGAGAGGAAGCCAUCUAGCUAAUAACUAUGGACCCGAAGGUCUGAGGUAAACUACUCACACAUCAUCGGAGAGGCUAUGGUGUUGAUGUAGAAGCCCUCCAUGAUCGAUGCCCCCUCCGGCGGAGCUCCGGAAAAGGCCCCAAGAUGGGAUCUCACGGGUACAGAAGGUUGCGGCGAUGGAAUUAGGUUUUUGGCUCCGUAUCUGGUAGUUUGGGGGUACGUAGGUAUAUAUAGGAGGAAGAAGUACGUCGGUGGAGCAACGUGGGCCCCACGAGGGCGCGCCCCCCUACCUCGUGCCUUCCUGGUAGAUUUCUUGACGUAGGGAACAAGUCCUCUAGAUAACGUUCGUUCCCAAAAUCACGUUUCCGAAGGUUUCAUUCCGUUUGGACUCGGUUUGAUAUUCUUUUUCUGUGAAACUCUGAACUAGGCAAAAAACAGCAAUUCUGGGGUGGGCCUCCGAUUAAUAGGUUAGUCCCAAAAAUAAUAUAAAAGUGUAUAAUAAAGCCCAUUAAUGUCUAAAACAGAAUAUAAUAUAGCAUGGAACAAUAAAAAAUUAUAUAUACGUUGGAGACGUAUCAAGCAUCCCCAAGCUUAAUUCUUGCUCGUCCUCGAGUAGGUAAAUGAUAAAAACAGAAUUUUUAAUGUGGAAUGCUACUUGGCAUAAUUUCAAUGUAAUUCUCUUAAUUGUGGUAUGAAUAUUCAGACCCGAAAGAUUCAAGACAAAAGUUUAAUAUUGACAUAAAAAUAAUAAUACUUCAAGCAUACUAACUAAGCAAUUAUGUCUUCUCAAAAUAACAUGGCCAAAGAAAGUUAUCCCUACAAAAUCAUAUAGUCUAGCUAUGCUCUAUCUUCACCACACAAAGUAUUUAAAUUAUGCACAACCCGGAUGACAAGCCAAGCAAUUGUUUCAUACUUUUGAUGUUCUCAAACUUUUUCAAUCUUCACGCAAUACAUGAGCAUGAGCCAUGGACAUAGCACUAUAUGUGGAAUAGAAUGGUGGUUGUGGAGAAGACAAAAAAGGAGAAGAUAGUCUCACAUCAACUAGGCGUAUCAACGGGCUAUGGAGAUGCCCAUUAAUAGAUAUCAAUGUGAGUGAGUAGGAAUUGCCAUGCAACGGAUGCACUAGAGCUAUAAGUAUAUGAAAGCUCAACAAAAGGAACUAAGUGGGUGUGCAUCCAACUCGCUUGCUCAUGAAGACCUAGGGCAUUUUGAGGAAGCCCAUCAUUGGAAUAUACAAGCCAAGUUCUAUAAUGAAAAUUUGCCACUAGUACAUGAAAGUGAUAUCAUAGGAGACUCUCUAUCAUGAAGAUCAUGGUGCUACUUUGAAGAACAAGUGUGGUAAAAGGAUAGUAACAUUGUCCCUUCUCUCUUUUUCUCUCAUUUUUUUAUUUGGGUCUUUUAUCCUUUUUUAUGGCCUCUUUUUUUUAGUCCGAAGUCUCAUCCCGACUUGUUGGGGAAUCAUAGUCUCCAUCAUCCUUUCCUCACUUGGGACAAUGCUCUAAAAAAUGAUGAUCAUCACACUUUUAUUUACUUACAACUCAACAAUUACAACUCAAUACUUAGAACAAAAUAUGACUCCAUGUGAAUGCCUCCGGCGGUAUACCGUGAUAUGCAAUGAAUCAAGAGUGACAUGUAUGAAAGAAUUAUGAACGGUGGCUUUGCCACGAAUACAAUGUCAACUACAUGAUCAUGGAAAGCAAUAUGACAAUGAUGGAGUGUGUCAUAAUAAACUGAACGGUGGUAAGUUGCAUGGCAAUAUAUCUCGGAAUGGCUAUGGAAAUCCUAUGGUAGGUAGGUAUGGUGGCUGUUUUGAGGAAGGUAUAUGGUGGGUGUAUGAUACCGGCGAAAAGUGCGCGGUAUUAGAGAGGCUAGCAAUGGUGGAAGGAAGAAAGUGCGUAUAAUCCAUGGACUCAACAUUAGCCAUAAAGAACUCAUAUACUUAUUGCAAAAAUCUACAAGUUAUCGAAGCAAAGUAUUACCCGCAUCAUCCUAGGGGGAUAGAUUGGUAUGAAAAGACCAUCGCUCAUCCCAGACCGCCACUCAUAAGGAAGACAAUCAAUAAAUAAAUCAUGCUCCGACUUCAUCACAUAACGGUUCACCAUACGCGCAUGCUAAGGGAAUCACAAACUUUAACACAAAUAUUUCGCAAAUUCAAAACUACUCAACUAGCAUGACUCUAAUAUCACCAUCUCCAUAUCUCAAAACAAUUAUCAAGUAUCAAACUUCUCAUAGUAUUCAACACACUCAUAAGAUUUUUUUACUAAUCUUGAGUGCCUAUCAUAAUUAAAGCAAAUUACCACGCUGUUUUGUAGGACUAUCAAAAUAAUCUAAGUGAAUCAUGAGAGAACAAUAGUUUCUAUAAAACAAAACCACCACCGUGCUCUAAAAGACAUACGUGAAGCACUAGAGCAAAAACUAUAUAGCUCAAAAGAUAUAAGUGAAGCACAUAGAGUAUUCUAACAAUUUCCGAAUCAUGUGUGUCUCUCUCAAAAGGUGUGUACUGCAAGGAUUAUUGUGGCAAACUAACAAAUAAAUACUUCAAAUAAUACAAGACGCUCCAAGAAAAACACAUAUCAUGUGGUGAAUAAAAAUAUAGCUCCAAGUAAAGUUACCGAUGGAAGUAGACGAAAGAGGGGAUGCCUUCCGGGGCAUCCCCAAGCUUUGGCUUUUAGGUGUCCUUAGAUUAACUUGGGGUGCCAUGGGCAUCCCCAAGCUUAGGCUCUUGCCACUCCUUGUUUCAUAAUCCAUCAAAUCUUUCACCCAAAACUUGAAAACUUCACAACACAAAACUCAGCAGAAAAUCUCGUGAGCUCCGUUAGCAAAAGAAAACAAAACACCACUUCAAGGUACUGUAAUGAACUCAUUCUUUAUUUAUAUUGGUGUUAAACCUACUGUAUUCCAACUUCUCUAUGGUUUAUAAACUAUUUUACUAGCCAUAGAUUCAUCAAAAUAAGCAAACAACACACGAAAAACAUAAUCUGUCAAAAACAGAACAGUCUGUAGUAAUCUGUAACUAACGCAAUUUUCUGGGACACCAAAAAUUGACCCAAAAUAGGAAGACCUAGACAAUUUUUUUAUUGAUCAGCAGCAAUUGGGAUCAAUAUUUUAUCACGUCCUGGUGAUUUUUAACAAUUAUUUUCGUGAACAGAAAGUUUCUAGAAUUUUCAGCAAGAUCAAAUAACUAUCAUCCAAGAAGAUCCUAUAGGUUAAACUUGGCACAAACACUAAUUAAAACAUAAAAACACAUGUAACCAGAGGCUAGAUCAAAUAUUUAUUCCUAAACAAAAGAAAAAAUCAUAAAAAACUAAAAAUAAAAUUGGGUUGCCUCCCAACAAGCGCUAUCGUUUAAUGCCCCUAGCUAGGCAUAAUAGCAAUGAUAGAUCUAGGUAUUGCCAUCUUUGGUAGGCAAUCCAUAAGUGGCUCUCAUAAUAGAUUCAUAAGGUAAUUUUAUUUUCUUUCUAGGGAAGUGUUCCAUGCCUUUCCUUAAUGGAAAUUGGAAUCUAAUAUUCCCUUCCUUCGUAUCAAUAAUUGCACCAAUCGUUCUAAGGAACGGUCUACCAAGAAUAAUAGGACAUGAAGGAUUGCAAUCUAUAUCAAGAACAAUAAAAUCUACUGGCACAUAAUUCCUAUUUGCAACAAUAAGAACAUCAUCAAUUCUUCCCAUAGGUUUCUUAAUGGUGGAAUCCGCAAGGUGCAAGUUUAAAGAGCAAUCAUCAAAAUCACGGAAACCUAGCAAAUCGCAUAGAAUCUUUGGAAUCGUGGAAACACUAGCACCCAAAUCACACAAAGCAUAGCAUUCAUGAUCUUUAAUUUUAAUUUUAAUAGUAGGUUCCCACUCAUCAUAAAGUUUUCUAGGGAUAGAAACUUCCAACUCAAGUUUUUCUUCAUAAGAUUGCAUCAAAGCAUCAACGAUAUGUUUAGUAAGGCUUUAUUUUGACUAUAAGCAUGUGGAGAAUUUAGCACGGAUUGCAACAAGGAAAUACAAUCUAUCAAAGAGCAAUUAUCAUAAUUAAAUUCCUUGAAAUCCAAAAUAGUGGGUUCAUUAAUAUCUAGAGUUUUGAUUUCUUCAAUCCCACUUUUACCAUUUUUUGCAUCAAGAUCUAAAAACUCCGAAUUUUUGGAACGCCUUCUAGGUAGAGGUGGAUUAUAUUCAGUCCCAUCAUUAUCAAGAUUCAUAUUGCAAAACAAAGAUUUAAUAGGGGACACAUCAAUAACUUUUAGAUCUUCAUCUUUAUUUUCAUAGAAACUAGAAGAACACGCUUUCACAAAACAAUCUUUCUUAGCACGCAUCCUAGCGGUUCUUUCUUUGCACUCAUCAAUGGAAAUUCUCAUGGCCUUGAGAGACUCAUUGAUAUCAUGCUUAGGAGAAAUUCUAUCAGCGUUCCUAGCCAAUUCAUCAACUUUAAGCAAUUUUUCUUCAAGCAAAGCAUUGAAAUUGUUUUGCGAAUUCAUAAAUUCUUUAACACUAGUCUCAAAUUCAGAAGGCAUCUUAUUAAAAUUUCCAUAAUAAUUGUUGUAGGAAUUACCAUAAUUAUUAGAGGAAUUACUAGGAUACGGCCUUGGAUUAAAGUUUCCUCUAUACGCGUUGUUACCAAAAUUAUUCCGACCAACAAAAUUCACAUCCAUAGAUUCAUUAUUAUUCUCAAUCAAAGUAGACAAAGGCAUAUCAUUAGGAUCAGAAGAAACACUUUUAUUAGCAAAUAAUUUCAUAAGUUCAUCCAUCUUUCCACUCAAAACAUUAAUUUCUUCUAUCAUGCACUUUUUAUUAGUGGUUUUUUCGGUGUGCCAUUGAGAAUAAUUAACCAUAAUAUUAUCUAGGAGUUUAGUAGCUUCUCCUAAAGUGAUUUCCAUAAAAGUGCCUCCCGCGGCCGAAUCUAAAAGAUUUCUAGAAGAAAAAUUCAAUCCGGCAUAAAUUUUUUGUAUAAUCAUCCACAAAUUCAAACCAUGAAUAGGGCAAUUACGUAUCAUUAAUUUCAUCCUCUCGCAAGCUUGUGCAACAUGUUCAUGAUCAAGUUGCUUAAAAUUCAUAAUAUCGUUUCUAAGAGAGAUGAUCUUAGCGGGAGGAAAAUACUUAGAGAUAAAAGCAUCUUUGCACUUAUUUCAAGAAUCACUACUAUUUUUAGGCAAAGACAAAAACCAAGCUUUAGCACGAUCUCUAAGCGAAAAAGGAAAUAGCUUCAAUUUAACAAUAUCAUUGUCCACAUCUUUCUUCUUUUGCAUAUCACACAAAUCAACGAAGUUGCCAUGUCUAGGAAUGCUUGAAGCUUCAAAGAUUUCCUAUAAUACAACAUGCCUCUAACUAUUCACAAUAAGAAAAACAUGUAAAUGCGGAAUCAACCAAAUGUUGGUAAAUUGUAGUUGAUUUUGGCCAAGCAAACGUCAGAUGAAAGAAACAUACAUGAGUGAACAUCACGAUUGGAUGUUUUAUUCAAAUUUAACAGGUUAAACUCACCAAAUCCAUCUGGAUAUUUAGUAUUAAACUUCAACAGAUGGUGAGUUGUAGCUAGAUUCACAACACUGAAGCAAAAUUCCAUCUGCCACGGUUACAUCACACCAUCUUUUCAUCGUUACUAUUUAAAUUCCAAAUGCCUGCAACUCAUUUUUUUGUUACGAUGUAUGCAUGAUUUUUAACUCAAGAGGAAGAGGGGAAACUAAAUCCAAGAAAAGAACACCAAGGAAGCAUCCAAAAUAGAGAAAGGAAAAAUCCAAAAUAGAGGCAGAAUCGAAGGGAAGAAACCCCAUAAAAAAUAGGAGAUCAAACGGUGAAAAAAAUCUAAGAGUCAAACAAUUCCAGGUAAGACCAAAUCGACGACAAAAUAGCACAAGAGGGACUCACAUUAACAGGUAUACCAAUUCAGAAAGAAGUGUAAAGCGAACAGUGCAAUGGACCACUAGUAUAAAUUGGCUGUACACAAACAUGGGACUUAAACAGGAACUGCGAGAUGCAGGGUUCACGUGCAAACCCAAAAAACGGAAAACUGAAACGCACAACAAGAUUUUAUCUUCAUAUAUAUAUAUUAUGAGCUAUUGGCUUUUUAGUCAGGUAAAUAUCAUUCUUAAGACUACGGAAAACAGCAGGCGGCGAAGAAAACAUCUAUUGAUGAGAACUAUACACAUACUUAAGAAGGAAGUGACAUCUAUGGUAGCAGAACAUAUAUCAAGCUGUUGCAGCUACAUUAGCAGUUUAGCACAGUUCCUCCAUAAUACACAGGCUAGUGUAAUUUCACAAAUACAAUAAGCUAACAAUAUAUAUUUGGUAGAUGGAAAUGGCUGGAUCAUGACCAAUAUACCAUUACACAUCCGAUGAUGCAAAUAAACCACAAUAGAACAUGUAUUUGGCGAAACCUCCAUACUGCAAUAUCAAACAUGAAUUGAAAUUAACAAUCUAGCAAAAAAACAUGACAGAUGCAGUCUUGGUCAUUUUUCCUUUUGUGACAUCCCCUAAAAAAAGUAAAAACAAUGUUGUUCGUAUUUUACCAGAGAUACACUGAGCUGGGACAAAUUGGUCUGAAAUAAAAUAUGAUGGCUUCGGAGGAUUCGGAAGGGAAGAAAUUUGCUUUCUUCCAACAUAUAUGGUCUGCUGAACUAAACUUCGUUUCAGCGGGCUUUGCCAAAAAUCUGUAACUGCAAACAUCAACUUGUGUGCCCUUCCUACGUCAAACUUUAAACCUGAGCUCAGUGUACUUUAUGAGUGUUAAGUGUACUUUCUAAAUAGCAGAGAAACCAUAACAUCUAAGCACAACCCAGCAACUUGUACAAGCUAACAUCAAAUCUGAAAGAAGAAAUGUCGAGAACAGGUGAAGGUACCAUGAUCCACGACUGAGCAAAGUUAUCUAUUAUCCUCGGUGAAUAUCAUAAAUUAGGAUCAACUACGCUGAAGAACAAACGGGAAAGGAACCUAGAAAGAUCUUUUGCCGGUAGAAUAUAACUGAUACACUAUCCUCAUUCUCGAGAUCAAGGUCGUUUCUUGAAUUGCAGUUUCCUCACUGUAGUAUGGGGUCAUUACACUGCGAAGAACAAAGUGUCAUAUGAAUCAUUUAGAGCCCAAUCUUUUUCACUGAAACUCUUAUGAUCACAUAACGAAUUUAAACAUAAGGUUUAUUAGAUAUUUGUUGUUGUGAAUAGAUAAUAUAUUUCUGGUGUUGACAAUGUUUUGAUUAUGGAUGCACUUCAAGAUGGGUGGCACAGAUUCUGUUGUACAGGCCUCCACCUGGAAUUUCAUCACUUGUUAUUUUUGUUUUAGAAUGUCUAGGUGCAUUUUUCCUUUAAGGUGGAAACAGAUGUACUUGUAUAAGCAACAAGAAUACAAAGCGCCACUGCCAUACAUUGUGGAAGUUCAGUGCUUCUGUUUACAAAAUCUGCUUCCCAAAACAGAAGGUUUAUAAUUUUUUAUUACAAUCAAGCGGACAUGAGCUGAUGAGUACAGAUGUAGACAUGUACUGAGAGCAGCACCCUUUCAAAAGUGGAUCAUUUACAUGUUGGAUAGUUUGAUGGUCUGAAAUUAAUGGUCGUGUUUCAGAAUUGUUAUCGAAUAGUAGGGGAUAUAUAUUAACUUCUGAAAUUAGUGGCUGUUUGUCAGAACUGUUAUCGAAUAGUAGGGCACAUAUAUUAACUUCAAUAAGUGGACUAAUAUCUUUGGAUUCGCUGUGAGGAAAGAUUACCAAAACAAAACAGAAGUGAGUGCGACGACCCAGAUGAGGGCGCUCUUGAGCCUCUUCCCGACCGACCUAGAUGCAGGAGCAGAACACGGCGGAUCUAAUCAGCCAACCAAUAAAGCCGAGGAAGUAAGGGAGGAAGAAGACUGACUUGUCCUGGUCGCCCUCGUAGUUAGAACAUGGCGAACAGGAUGACGAGGAAGACGAGGACAGCGUCGAGGAUGUAGACGACGAGCCAGAGCAUGUUCAUGGGCAGGAUCAAGCAUGGGCAGGAUAAGGGCGCAGGCCCCGUUGUAGGCGGCGUGCUUGCAGGCCUGGCGGUUGGCGACGUCGGCGGGGAGCAUGAGGAUGGAGAGGACGGCGACGGUGAUGCCGAGCACGAUGACGAGCUUGAGGAAGUAGGCCUGGUUGGCAUCAUCCGGGUGCUGGUAGUUGACGAGCAGGCAGACGCUGACGAGGAGCACCAGGAUGCUGACCACCGCCGCCACGAUCACUAGCGCCACGUUAAAAAACCCAUAUCCUCGGGGCUCCGGUCCCGGUUCCGGCCCGCCGCCUCGCCCCCGUUGGUCGGUCAGAUCUCUCUGUCCCUAGAGGCGGGGGAUACAGGCUAGGGUUUGGGCGUGGGCGGGGAAUAGGCUGCUAUGGUGCCGGCAGCGGGGCGUGGAGGAGAGAAGGAUUAGGAGGAAUAAUUCACCACACUUUGAUUAACCUCUCGGCUGGGUCUUAUGUACAGAUUACAGGGCCAGCCAGGGAGAUCAUGAGGUGAUCCACUACCUGGGAUCGUGCGCCACGAUCACUACAUGCGUGCGCCACGAUCAUAUACACACACGCUACACCUAGUGUCUACGCAACUACGGUAUAGCAGUACGGUACAGUCUAACACCCCCCCCCCCCCGCAGUCGUGACGUCGUCGGCGGCGACGCAAAGACUGGACCGGAACUCAGAGAAAACAUCCGAUGGCAGGCCUUUGGUCAUGAUGUCCGCGAGUUGUUGGCGCGUGGGGAUGUGAAGAACACGGAAGUGGCCGAGGGCGACGCGCGCCCGCACGAAAUGGAUGUCCAGCUCCACAUGCUUAGUGCGGCGAUGAUGCAUCGGAUUGGCUGACAGGUAGACUGCGGACACAUUGUCACAGUACACCAGUGCUGCCUUGGUCACUGGAGCGGAGAGCUCGCCGAGAAGCUGGCGGAGCCAGAUGCAUUCAGCGACCGCGUUGGCGACGCCGCGGUAUUCAGCUUCGGCGCUGGAGCGCGAUACGGUCGCCUGGCGCUUGGAGGACCAGGAGACGAGAGCAUCGCCGAGGAAGACGCAGAAGCUCGACGUGGAGCGUCGGGUGUCGGGGCAGCCGGCCCAGUCCGCGUCGGUGAACGCAAGGACGUCGAGCGUGGUCGAGGCGUGAAGAUGAAGCCCGAGUGCGCAGGUGCCCUUCACGUACCGGAGCACGCGCUUGACGAGCGCGAGGUGGCAUUCGCGCGGGUCAUGCAUGUGCAAGCAGAUUUGCUGGACGGCGUAGGCGAUCUCUGGACGCGUGAUGGUGAGGUACUGCAGGGCCCCGGCGAUGCUCCGAUAGGCCGAGGGGUCGUCGACGCAGGGCCCAUCGGCUGAGAGGAGUUUGCUCUUCGUGUCGAUGAGUGUCGGGGAAGGGCGGCAGGUGUCCAUGCCGGCGCGUUCCAGGAGUUCGUCGGCAUAUUGUUGUUGCGACAGGAAGAAGCCAGCUCGGGUGCGGGUGACGCGGAUGCCGAGGAAGAAGGCGAGCGAGCCCAGGUCCUUCAUGGCGAAUUCGCCUGUGAGGCGCUGGAUGACAUGGUGAAGCACGCGUGACGAGGACGCGGUGAGCACGAUGUCGUGGAUGUAGAUGAGGAGGAACGCCAUGUCGUUGCCGUGCCGGAAGGUGAACAGCGACGAGUCCGAACGCGUAGCUGCGAAGCCAAUGGAGCGGACGAAGCCGGCGAAGCGGAGGAACCAGGCACGGGGCGCCUGCUUGAGCCCGUACAAGGACUUGGAGAGGCGGCAGACGUGCUCUGGUUUGUCGGGGUCGACGAAUCCGGCGGGCUGGAGGCAGUAGACUUCCUCCUCCAAGUUGCCGUGGAGGAAGGCGUUGGAGACGUCGAGGUGGUGCACCGGCCAGCCGCGCGACGCGGCCAUAGUGAGCACAGUGUGGAUCGUCGCUGGCUUGACGACGGGGGAGAACGUCUCGCCGUAGUCGACGCCGGCACGCUGAUGAAAGCCCCGCACGACCCAGCGUGCUUGCUAGCGGGCCAGCGCACCGUCGGCGUCGUUUUUGUGCUUGAAGAUCCACUUCCCUGUGAUCAGGUUGGCGCCGGGGGGGCGGGGCACCAGCUCCCAUGUGCGAUUGCGCACGAGCGCAUCGUACUCAGCACGCAUGGCACCGAGCCAGUUCGGGUCGUGAACAGCAGCGCGAACCGAACGCGGCACCGGCGACACCGAUGAUGAGGUAGAGGCGGUGGCCGCGUCGUAGUAGCGCGGGUUGGGGCGGAAGAUGCCGCGCUGGGCACGCAUGACCAUGGGCACAGGAGGCGCCGGUGCGCGGGGCGCCGUUGGUCGCGCGCUCGGAGACGAGCUGUCGGAGGAGCCACUGGCGGAGUUGUCGGAGGAGCCGCUGGCGGAGGCGAAGACAGGCGGACCUGGCGCGGAUGGGCACGUCGAGGACGGAGCAGAGCCGCCAUCGGAAGCGCCCGCAGCGCACCGCGAGCUAACGCGGCGCGCCCCGCUGGUUGGCGAUGAUGAGCGGGGCAGGCUGGUGAUGGAGAUCGGGCGCGCCGGCAGGACGGGUGACAUGCUGCUGUCAGGCACCGGUGGAAGCGCAGGCAGCGCAGGAGGCCGGACGGCGAGCGGGAUCUGCAGGGUAGAGGGUACGACGGGUGGCGUAGGCGACGGGGAAGAGGAUGCGAACGGGAAAACGUGGUCGUGGAAGAGAACGUGGCGAGACGUGAGGACACAGCGAGAGGUGAGGUCAAAGCAGCGAAAACCACGAUGAUCGGGAGGGUACCCGAGGAAGACGCAGGCGAUAGAACGUGGCUCGAGCUUAUGGCGGGUGGUGGCGGUGACGUUCGGAUAGAUGCGGAGUAAUUUGUGCGACGCCGAGCAGGAGUUCAUGCGGAGUGCAGGGCGCCGAGGCGCGGCAGGGCCGAUGAUUGAGCAGGUAGGUCGAGGUGUUGAGAGCCUCUGCCCAGAAGCGAGCGGGCAUGUGCGCAUGACAGAGAAGCACACGAACGCCGUCGUUGAUCGUGCGGAGAACUCGCUCGUCCUUGCCGUUCUGCUGACUGGUGUAUGGGCAGGUGAGACGGAAGUGUGUGCCGUGGCGAGCAAGCAGAGAGCGCACAGCUGCGCUGUCGAAUUCACGACCAUUGCCCGUUUGCAGUGCAAGUAUGGGUAACUGAAACUGAGUCUGAACAUAGGCAAAGAAAUCAACAAGUAUGGGAAGAACUUCAGACAUGUGUUUCAGAGGGAAAGUCCAGACAUAGUGACUGAAAUCAUCUAGUACAACUAAGUAAAACUGAUAGCCGGAUAUGCUUACAACGGGAGCGGUCCAUACAUCAAGGUGUAAAAGCUGGAAAGGAAAGAAACUAGCAGUGGUGGAUGUCUGAAACGGGAGCCAGGUGUGUUUGCCAACACGACAGGCAUGACAGACAGGCGGAUCACGGCAGAACUCCAGGGACUGAUCGGCAGCAACGGUGCGGAGUGCGGCAGCCCCUGGGUGGCCGAGACGUUGAUGCCACAGGUCGGUCGUGGCGGCGCCGGCGAAGAUGCCCGGGGAAUGGACGGAUGGCCGCACCACGGGAUAGAGAUCGCCGUCGGAGUCACAUCGGAGAAUCACUACCCUGGUUCGUAGGUCCUUGACAGAGAAACCACGAGCGUCAAAUUCAACAGAAACGGGGUAGGAACGACAAAGCUGCCGAACUGAAAGUAGGUUUUUGACGAGAGAUGGAGAGACGAGAACGUUGCGGAGAGGAAUGGGGGAAGUGCUGGUGAUCAGCGCGCCCGUGCCAACGUGGGUGAUGGGCAGGCGGUCACCACUGCCCACGAUGAUAGAUGCAGUAGUAGAGGACGGGCGAGUGGAGAGGAGAUUACCAGGGGAGGACGUCAUGUGCGCCGCGGCGCCGGAGUCGAGGUACCACUCCGGUGCGCUGCCAGAGGAGGAAGGGCUGGCCGAGGCGCUGUGGAGGGCGGCCUGGAGCGAGGCCAUGUCCCAUGGCUGGUGGGUUGCAGUCGACGAGCUGGCGCCGGGGUGCCCGUAGCCUGACAGGACGUCGGAGACGGGUGGAGUGACGCCGUAGCCGGGGAGGGUAGCGCCGUAGCCGUAUGGUGCAGCCGGCGACGGGGCGGCGAACAUGGCCUGCUGGUACGGCGUACCAGGGCGGGGGCCGAGCACUUCAGCUCCAGCCGCGCGCCAAGGCAUCGGCCAAGCCUGGACCAUGCCGGUCCAUGCGUUUGUACCGGGUGCAGGCGUGGGGUACGCUGGGGGAGGGCGGGGAGCCUGGGAGGACGGCGUGGGCGGGCCACCAAUGCCGUUGCCACGUCUGGGGCGGCGUCCGCGCCCACGCCCUUGGUUGGUGUUGCUGGGCGGGGGUGUGGGUGGUGUAGGAGAGCCGCCACGCCCGGCGACGAGAGCGUGCGCAGACUGCUGGCGAGUGGUCGACUGCUCUGCUCGGUGUUCCUCAAGCAGGACGAAGGAGCGCACCUGCAGGAACGACGGGAGCGGGACCUGCGAGGUGAUGUGAGGGAUGGCGGAGUGGAACUGCCGGUUCAGACCGCGGAGCAGGUUGAAGACCUGCCGCGAGUCGGUUACCGGCUGCCCGAGGUGGCGGAGUUGAUCCGUGAACGACUUCAUCUUGGUGCAGUACACCAUGAUCGACAUGUCGCCCUGAACGAUAGCGUGGUACUCGGCGUCGAGGUAGACAGCGCGAGCGAGGUGGUUGUCGCGGAAGAUUCCAUCGACCGCAGUCCAGACGGCCAGAGCAGUGUCGUCCGGCUGCAUGACGGCGUCGAGCAGGUCCGGCGAUAUGGUGGUGUAGAACCAGUGGACGACGACGUGAUCAGCCAUGCCCCACUCGGGAUCAUCGUGGCGGUGGAUGGCCGUGGCGCCGAACAUGCCGAUGACGGUGUCGAAGUGGCGGCGCCACUGCGUGUAGUUGCCGGCGAGAAGGUCGAGGGUGACCGGGACAUGACGACGGAUGUCCACGGUCUGCAGGAUCGCGGAGGCGACAGGUGCUGUAGCAGGAGGAGGAGGGAUGACGGGCACCGCGGGCGCGACAGGUGCUGGAGCCGGCGGUGCCUUGGCCAGGGGGACAGCGUUAAGGACGCCGUCGGCGCCGUGCUGCGAGGAGCGAGGGGACACGAUGGGGUUGUCAUCCAUGGCGGCGGAAGCGGGACUGGCGACCUGCGCGAAGGGAUUGAGCAGGUCGGGGGAAUCUGGUACCAUAGAGGAGAGAAGGAUUAGGAGGAAUAAUUCACCACACUUUGAUUAAGCUCUCGGUUGGGUCUUAUGUAUAGAUUACAGGGCCAGGGAGAUCACGGGGUGAUCCACUACCUGGGAUCGUGCGCCAGGAUCACUAUAUGCGUGCGCCACGAUUAUAUACACACAUGCUACAACUAGUGUCUACGCAACUACGGUAUAGCAGUACAAUACAGUCUAACAGGGCAGCCACCGGCGGGGAGGGCGGGAUCCACGCGGGGUGGCGGGAUUUGGGCAGGCGGUGGGCUCGGGGGAGGGCGGUGGCAGCGAAGCAGCAAGGAGGGGCUGGAGGAGAUGAAACGAAAGAGGUCGCGUGACACAGCGACAGCGUUGUCCAAUCCCCGCGCUGCCGAUUUAAAAAAAAGGUAAUGAUAACUCCCGAACGUUCGGGAGUUAAGCAUGGAAACCCGAACGGGUUUAGAUGGCAAGUUUAGUUUGCGUGAGAUUAGGAAAACAUGGCAAUUUUCUGACAAAAGAAAUGAAAAAGGAUGAAGUUGCCAUCCCUAUCAACUAAAGUUGCCAUCCCCUAUGAACUAAAGUUGCCAUGUAAAAACGUUCGGGACGAAAUGCUCAAAAUCCGAACGUUCGGAAGUUACUGGAUUCAAAAAAAUCCCCUUGCUGCCAAUCGCUGGUCCGUUUCUUUUUUCGCCCAAUCGCUAGGUGAUGACGUGGCUAUCGCGGGAAGGCGCCCUUGAUGCGUAGUCGAAUGGUUUUAAUUAAUAGGAAGCGAGUGCUUACUCUAGUUACUGAAUUAUGUACACCAAAUAAAGCCAUUUACACGUAGUUAAUGACAAAAAAAGUUGAUGUUUGCUACGCAAAUGUGUAGUACAAAUUAAGAAGUGCAAGAUAAAAAAAAAUGCUGGUCCUUGAUUCGUUGUUGAUCGUCAGCAUGCCAUCAUCAAUUUGUAGUUAAUUAUCAUACAAAUUGGCUCUUUCAUAGAGUUGGAGACUAGCUCCUUUGAUCAGCACGCGCUUAAACACAAACAGCACGUAUAUGUUUUGUCUCCGGAGUUCAAUUCUUCAUCGGCCAGUAAAAAUGGCCCGACCAGGUAGAGGAAAAGGCAUGUUUGUUAGUACGCCUGGAGGAAAUGCCUUUGAUUAGGGCAUCUUCAACAGCGACCAGUAAAUUUCCUCCCGCGUUCGUCCACGGAUAGGGGAUCAGUCCGCGGAUACGAAUACAGGAAUCAUCCAUCCAACGCUGUCCGCGUAUAUUUCAAACACAUUUUUUUUAAAAAUAGGAUGAAAUUCAUGCAAACACAAUGGAUUUCAUACAAACCGGACAAAAAUGUUUACAUUUUGGACAUUUUUUUUUACUAAAAACUCUACAGCCGGCGCCGGCGAAUAUCCACUCCGGCGACAUGGAUACCCUUGACUAGUCUACUGCCGGCCGCAGCGGAUCUCCGAUGUCGUCCCCAUGUCCGGCAGCUAUGAGCCCUAGAGGUAUAUGCUUCAGCGCAAAGAGCGGCUCGCCUCCCUACCGCUCAUCGGAGUGGAACAACCAGCUGAUGCUUCUGCCGAUGGAAAGGGUCCCUACGCUACACGGAUUAGAGUUGGUUUUGGGCUGGGAACGGCGGUGGCCUGCCAGAGGGCAAGACACCGACUGUGUAUGCUGGUGUCACCUGGUGUGGCAUUCGUGGGACCCAAGCGGCAGCGCCUCCUCGAUGAUGGCGGCGAGCGCGGACGUGUUGGACACCACCUCGUCGAUGUCCGUGCAGCCCGCUUCUUUCUCUAUAGGAAGGACGCGGUUACGCUCGCGUUGACAUCGGAUGACUCGGUCACAUGCACGGGAGGGGCGGUACGACAUGGCAUCGCCAAUGGCAGCCAUGAUGCCCGCGCCACCGUGCUCCCUCCCAGUGCCGACCUGGAGCAACUUGCCACUCCUCGGCUCGUGACCGGUGGGCUUGACGGGCCACCUAGCCAUUUUUUAUGCCAGACAACUCUUCUUCCUGCUCGUCAGAUGUCAUGGAUAAAACUGUUUAAGGAGGAAAAUGAUGAGUGGACGUGUGAUGCGGUUCUUGCCCAACAUCUGACAUUGUUUAAAUAGUGAGGGGACACGAGAGGAGCCAACCGGCGUUCUGUUUAAUGCCAACCGGCUCGCGAACGAACAUGUGGCCGGAGUAAUUAUCCUGGCACACACGAGGGUUUUAUGGUGGAAGGCGGGCAGUCUGCAGGAAUGAGGCGAGGAUGUGUGCUUAGCCGGCGUGCAGCAGGCGGUGCCCUCGGCCGGCGUGCUGCUUCCAUUGCGGAGGCAGUGAAAGGUCGCGUCCGCUCUGCAGCGCAUGAAUGCGGGCAGCUGGCGCAGAGCGGGAACGCGUGUGGGCGAGGGAGGAGGGGGUUUGGGCGGGUGGUCAGAAGAGGUCGUGGGUGUUGUCCGAACGCCUGCAAAGCCCCCCUCCAUGUUUGUCUCCAGUUUGCGGGAGAAAGUACGUCCGGACCGUCUCCAAUGGACCAAUACAGGCCCGCAUUGGAUGGCACAACACGUCCGGACGAUGUGGUCCGGAUGGUUGUGGACAGUUUAAUUGAGGGUCGGCGUUGGAGAUGCCUUAGAGUUUAUGAAUCCAUUGUGUUUUUCUAAUCAUAAAAAAGCACUUACAAUAAGUUAUAAGGAAAGACACGAUUAUAUGUUAGGUUCAGACUCCAGCUUUCGUUUUACAUAUGCUUUAUUCAUCCGACUGAUUCCAAUAGAGUGAGCCUAGCGUUGUUUUUCUGGAAACUCGCGGGAUAAGGAGACAUGCAUACACAUUCUUUCAAGCAAAUCACAUCCAUUUUUUUUAACUCAUUUUUCUUCUUUUAAUAAUAUAAUAGAUCAUUUAUAUUUUUUAUCUGAAACAGUUGACGUGUAAUUUAUAUUGUAAUCUGAGGAUAAUGUUUGGAUUUUACUUUCAAAUAUAUUUGAAAUGGCCAUGAUGGAAUCACAUCCAUUUAUUUUAUUAUUAUUUGAAUUUGAUCCAAAAGAUAAAUAAUGAGUAGAGGUCAUGUCAACUUUUCUGAGAACUUUGCUAAUCAAAAUAUAAAUUGUAUUUAAAAACAUCUAUUUUUUAGCACGCAUGAAAAACAUAACACGUAUCUUUUCACACAUAAUGAACGGUUGUCAUAAGAACUCAUGCCAUGCCACAACCUCCCUCCGACCCUGCCAACAUUGUUGCAGCUGCACUCGCAAGCCUUAGCGUAGAUGAUAAUUUAUACAAUUUGCGUAAAAACAAAAUAAGAUCUACAAAUGAAUAGAAGCUAGAACGUACAUUGGCAUGCACACACAUUGCAAGCCAUACUAAGCUGAUAAGUGUUAAUAACUUGUAUAACAUAUACAACACUUAACACAAGUAAAAGCAAUUUGAUGAGUCAUGGUCUAUCAAAGCCACAUUACUAGUCUAAUCCAUCUUAACAGGUCACACAUGAUUAAAAUCUUGUUUGUGUGCAAGUCAAGCUUAUCUAGUUUACAUGUAACAACUUGUAGAACAUUACAAAAUUUAUGUUUGCUAAUAACUUCUAGAACACUACAACACUUGACAUGUAAAAGGAAUUUGAUGAGUCAUGGCCUACUAAAGCAAGUUAUAUUACUAGUCUUAUCUACCUUAACAGGCCACACAAGAUUACAAACCAAGUUCUGUGCCAGCCAUGCUUAUCUAGUUUAUGCGUAACAAUUUGCAGAAAAUUACAAACUUAGUUUCAGAAAAAUAGGCAAUCUAGAUUAGUGUUUGAGCUGUAAAGUGAAUAAAAUGAGUCAUGCGUGUUAUCACACCUUUUUGGUUGUGGAAUGAUAGUGCAACAACAAGGAACUUUAAUGACCAGUUCAAGAAUACACUUGUAAGUAGUGCCACCGAACACAACAUACCAAAUUAUGAUUUUGAGAAGCAUCCAAGCACUUCCACACAAGCAAAUGCCAAUUGUGAAAGAGAUCAUGCCAUGGCAGCUAUAAAUAGGCCCGUAGCAUGACGAUCAUCCUUCCUCAUCCAUCAUUCUCAUAAGUAGAGCGCAUCAUUUAAGCCAAGCAAGCAGUGCUCAAUACAAAUCCACCAUGAAGACCUUUCUCAUCCUUGCACUCCUUGCUAUUGUAGCAACCACCGCCACAAUUGCAGUUAGAGUUCCAGUGCCACAAUUGCAGCCACAAAAUCCAUCUCAGCAACAACCACAAGAGCAAGUUCCAUUGGUACAACAACAACAAUUUCCAGGGCAGCAACAACCAUUUCCACCACAACAGCCAUAUCCGCAGCCGCAACCAUUUCCAUCACAACAACCAUAUCUGCAGCUGCAGCCAUUUCCGCAGCCGCAACUACCAUAUCCGCAGCCGCAUCUACCAUAUCCGCAGCCGCAACCAUUUCGACCACAACAACCAUAUCCACAACCGCAACCACAGUAUUCGCAACCACAACAACCAAUUUCGCAGCAGCAGCAACAACAACAACAACAACAACAACAACAGAUCCUUCAACAAAUUUUGCAACAACAACUGAUUCCAUGCAGGGAUGUUGUAUUGCAACAACACAGCAUAGCGCAUGGAAGCUCACAAGUUUUGCAACAAAGUACUUACCAGCUGGUGCAACAAUUGUGUUGUCAGCAGCUGUGGCAGAUCCCCGAGCAGUCGCGGUGCCAAGCCAUCCACAAUGUUGUUCAUGCUAUUAUUCUGCAUCAACAACAACAACAACAACAACAACAACAACAACAACAACCGUUGAGCCAGGUCUCCUUCCAACAGCCUCAACAACAAUAUCCAUCAGGCCAGGGCUCCUUCCAGCCAUCUCAGCAAAACCCACAGGCCCAGGGCUCUGUCCAGCCUCAACAACUGCCCCAGUUUGAGGAAAUAAGGAACCUAGCGCUAGAGACGCUACCUGCAAUGUGCAAUGUCUAUAUCCCUCCAUAUUGCACCAUUGCUCCAGUUGGCUUCUUCGGUACUAACUGAGAAGAGAAGAACUCUAGUAGUAGACAUAUGAUACACCGUUUUCUUAGUCCAUGGUUUGGUCGUUGUAGCGGUGAAAAAAUAAAGUGACAUGCAGUAUCAUGUAAGAACCCGAACUAUACUAGUUCAAACAUGGGAAUAAAAGACAAACACAUGUCUUGUCUACAUAUGAUUGUUUGUUUGAGUUCCACUCAUGUGCCCACUCACAAGUUCACCCCUAAUUAUAUAUAUUAUGCAUUAAGUAGAUAUUUAUGUUGCAUUAAUCUAAAGAUAACAAAAUGAGUCUGAAAUUUGACUUAAAUUGAAGUAUUUCCUUGGACGUUCAAAUGGAGUAUUAUUAAAGUAGUAAGGACUAUCCACAUCCUUGGCUUGCCCUUGAUCAAUUAUUUCCAGAGAAGCAUUCAAUUCAUCAAUCAAUUACAUUGAUUUUUGUGGCUGGUACUUCUCCUCAACAUGAGUAUAUUCAUCGCGGCUACUCCAAAUAGGCAUGAAUGAGGUACCGGUGCUCUGGAGCACUGGUACCUAACUGCUUCUCAUGUGAAGGGGUGCGGGCGCGGGAGAGGUGUUUUUGGUGGGCCAGGGGAGUAAGAAUCGGCCGUGGCAGCGGUCCAGACGCCCACAAAGCCCCGUAGUUUGUUUUUGGUUUACAGGAAAAUGCACAUCCAGACCGGCCUGCGGGCCGAUAUAGGACCGUAUUGGAUGGCAAAACAUGUCCGGAUGGUCGCGAGCGGUUUAAGGGUUAGCUUUUGUAACGCCUGGUUAGUUAUGCUAUGGUAAUUCCCUGCUAAUGAUGUCACGUCAGCACGAUUACUGUUGUUAACCUCACAAUGAUUCAAUCCCAUUCAAAUUCAAAUUUAAAAUAAAGGCAAAAAUCAAAAGUCUCAAACAUUAAAACUAAAAUCUUCGAGAGGUGAAAAAUAAUGCAUAAGUAAUUAUGGUGGAGCAACCACACUUUUAUAAAAUGUUUAAAUACUCUAAAAAUAAUAAAACAGUGGCUUAAACUAUUAUUUAAAUGCUUUUAAAAUAGUAAAAAUGUUCUAACUAAAUUAAUUGGGUACCAAACUUUUGGUGGCAGUGGUAUAUUUAGUAGAACUAAUUUAGAUGCUAAUAAAACAUAAAAGGAAAGACAAAACAAAUAAAAGUAAAAGGGGGCAACCCCUCGCUGGGCCUCGGCCAAGCUGGCCACUGGGCUAGCUAGGUUGGCCCAACCGCCUCCCUUAACCCCCCACUCCCCAUCGAACCCUAGACCGAUCGCCCCACUUCCCCCACACCCCCUCGUCAGCCUCCCCACCUCUCGAUCCCAUCUGGAUCGGGGAGGGGAUCGCCCCCAUCGACCCCGUCGCGGUCGCUGGAUCGCCCGCUCGCCCAUCGCCCGCCGCCGUCGCGAGACCUCCUCCCCGUCGCACGUCUCCGACUCUCCUCCCCUCUCGCUCCUCUUCCCCGACCCGAUCUGGAUCGGGAAGGGCCAAUGAGCCAAACGCCCCCCUCCAUCGACGAUGUGCUCCAGCACCGCCGCCCGAAGACCUCGCCCUCGCCGGACCUCGCGUCGCCUCCUCGUAUCCCUCCCCGACUCGCCUCCUCAAGCCACGCCGACCCCCUUCUCGGCAACGCUGUGAGCUGCCCCCGUUUCCAUCCUUCUCUUUCCACCGUGUUCACCGCGCUGCCUGCCGUGCCCCUCGCUGCGCGCACGCCCACCACCGUGCCAGCCCCUGCUCCGAGCCCUCUCCUGCACGCUUGUGCGCGCAUGACCCUAGCCGCGCCCACGCCGUGAUCCCCUUGUCCCGCCCGCCUUCGUCCCGCGCUCGCCGCGGCCCCCAUGCUCCCAUGCGCCCUCUUUUGGGGGCGUCGGCUGCCCCUGUCCCGCAGCUCGCUGGCAUGCGUCCCCGCCCGCGCCUCGCCACCGCUCUACUGCUACGCUACUAUUGCGCUGUGGCCGCCGCCGCUUCCCGCUGCUCUGCCAGCGCCAAAGCUCCCGGUUGGCCCUGCCGCUGCUCGCGUUUAACCGCCGGCCUAAGCGGCCUAACCUCCCCCCUCGCUAAUGAACCCCCACCGACCCGCUGACACCGGGACCCACAUCCCCUAAUUAACCAUUUAAUAAAUUAAAACUCUUAAAUUAACAUUAGUGUAUGACAUGUGGGUCCCCUAUUAAUUAAACUGAUUUAAUUAAAAUCUAUUAACUUUGAGUCUAUGACAUAUGGGCCCCACUAAACAUUUGACCAGUCAACGGUCCAGUCAAAUGCUGACCGGACAGUUGACCAGAGGGCCCCGCCAGUCAGCCAAUGUGCUGUUCUGCUGGGUACCUUUCUAAGUACACCUAGCAUUUUACAUUUACAAUAUUUGUUUUAAAAUAAAUUAGAAUAAUUUCAAAAAAAUAUUAAAACUUUUAAAAUUAAAAUAAAAUAAUCCAUAACUCGGAUGAAAUUACUUUAUACAUGGAAGUUGCUCAAAAAACGAGACGAAUUCGAAUACACAGUCCGUUCGUCUGCCACGCGUCCCUAGCAUAGCGAACAUGCAACCAUCCCCCUCCGGUUCGACUCUCCGAAAAAUUAUUAUUGCACAUGCCCGCUAAGAGGUUGGCUGUAUAUGACAUGACAACUUCUUAUAGCCGACCCUUGGCUGUAAUAUUAACCAUGCUCUUAGUGAGGUAGCUAGUAUAUCAUAGACGACUAGCUAGUAUCAGACUAGCCAAAGUGGGAGUAACUUCAGCAGUAACAUCGACUCCAACUCAGCAAACUUGCUUAUGUGGGAGUAAACCCUGCCUAAUGCAAAAUACAAUCCCAGUCGUAAUUUUUUCAGGAAACGUGUGGGAUCCCAAACGAAAAGCACACGUCACUCUUGCGGCAACCGUCGGUGACACCCAAUAAAUCACAAACGGUAUGCAGCACUUGUAUGUGUGCAAAGGGGCUCCUGAACCGUUUGUGAUAGAACAUUAUCGCAGACGGUAAUUGUUGGCAAACGUGUGCGAUGGAGUCUAGCAUGGCAGACGGGUUACGCAGAAAACUCGUGUGCGAUGGGGCACAAAUCGCACACUGUUCAUAUGUUGGCCCAUGUGCCUUACAUACUAUUUCCCAAAUGGUUUGUUACGACAGACCGUAUCGUUUCAGUGCGUCAUUAGAAACGCUUAAUCACUGAUACCACACGUGCGAAAGAAUUUAGUGCGUGCUGCAUCGCACACGAUUACAUUUUGGAAGGCCUCUGGAUCACUGCUCCAUAUCCCCGACGGUUUCUGGGCCGUGUGGGAAGGACACCCUAUCACACACACUCACUUGGCGACGGCUCCAAAUGCUGUCGUGGAAAGGGGUUAAAAACAGUUUGUUUAGGACCGACGCGUACCAGUGUCUAUCUAUCUAUCUAUCUAUCUAUCCAUCUAUCUAUCUAUCUAUCUAUCUAUCUAUCUAUCAAUCUAUCUAUCCAUCUAUCCAUCUAUCCAUCUAUCCAUCUAUCCAUCUAUCUAUCUCAAUCCACCUAUCUAUCUAUCCAUCUAUCCAUCUAUCUAUCUCUCCAUCUAUCCAUCUAUCUAUCCAUCUAUCCAUCCAUCUACUAUCCAUCUAUCUAUCCAUCCAUCCAUCUAUCUAUCCAUCCAUCUAUCUAUCUAUCUAUCUAUCUAUCUAUCUAUCUAUCUAUCUAUCUAUCUAUCUGUCUGUCUAUCUAUCUAUCUAUCUGUCUGUCUGUCUAUCUAUCUAUCUAUCCAUCUAUUCAUCUAUCUAUCUAUGUAUCCAUUUAUCCAUUGAUCCAUCUAUCGAUCCAUCGAUCCAUCCAUCUAUCCAUCCAUCUAUCCAUCCAUCUAUCUAUCCAUAUAUCCAUGUAUCCAUGUAUCCAUCUAUCCAUCUAUCGAUCUAUCCAUCUAUCCAUCUAUCCAUCUAUCCAUCUAUCUAUCUAUCCAACCAUCUAUCGAUCUAUCGAUCUAUCGGUCUAUCCAUCUAUCGAUCUAUCCAUCUCUCCAUCUACCAAUCUAUCCAUCUAUUCAUUUACCGAUCUAUCUAUCCAUCUAUCUAUCUAGCUAUCUACCUAUCUAUCUAUCUAUCUAUCUAGCUAUCUAGCUAUCUAUCUAUCUAGUUAUUUAGCUAUCUAUCUGUCUACCUACCUACCUACCUAUCUAUCUAUCUAUCUAUCUAUCUAUCUAUCUAUCUAUCUAAAGGAAAUAUGCCCUAGAUGCAAUAAUAAAGUUGUCAUUUAUAUUUCCUUAUAUCAUGAUAAACUAGCGGAGUCACCCGCGCAUUUGCGCGGCUAGAUUGACUACAUAUAUUGUUAUAUUUGGGAUUAUUUUUCUAUGCCAAUUUUAUGGCCUCUUACUCAGAUAUUAUCUAAUUGAAUUUACCACCACCAUAUGUUAUAUCCAUAGAUUAUAAUUAAAAGGCAACUUCCGACGAAACAUGGACAGAUUAUUGAGUGCUUAGAAGACGGACGCAAUAUCAUAUAUAGACUUCUAUACCAAUCUUCAUGGUUCCCAUCUUUGAUCCUCUCCUCGUCCCUUGGUAUCUAUCUUUGCACCCAAUAUGUCUUUGGAGUUCCAAGAAUUGAAUCUUAGCAUGAAUGGCUUCAAUGUGUACCAAAUGUUCUCUUGUUCCUCCCAAAUUAAUUACUGGUUGCAUUCUUAGUUGCUUUGACAUUCUUGGUUAAUGCAAUGUCUUGCCUACCAAUAUAUGCAUCCACACACGAUAAUAUUUAUAUGACCACUUACCUUUGUAUUCUGGUAUUUGUGCUUCAGAAUUUUUCUCUCAUUCAGUUUAUUCAUAGAUUAAAAACGUCGAUCGUUUCUUUAUUGGUUUGCAUUAUCUUGUUUGCCGAACGUAAGCAUCCACACAUGCUCGUCAUGAUAUGAUUGGUCAUCAUUGUAUAUUUGUAUUUGUGUGUUGAUAGCUUAAGGAUUUUCUCGGAUUCACUUCAUAGUUUAAGGAUUUUCUCGCGUUCAAUUUAUUCUACCUUAUUCAUUUUCAUGUUUCUUUAUUGCAUUUAUAUCAAUUCUUACAAUAUAUUUUCCAAGAUAUGAACUCAACUGCUAAUUACGUAGUUUUUCAUCAAAAAUUACAUGUAAAAAUGUUACAAAUGCAUAAACAUGAUAAAAAUAUAUAUCAUAUUCCAUUGAGAGAUCGCCCAUUUAAAAAAAACACGUUGACUUACAAAAAGGACAAUUCAAGCUGCAUGUACGUCCGACUCAUGUUUACCUGACAAUGUCGAUGUUGAUUUCAGCAGUAAAUGAGCUGUGUGUGACCUUUGCGCUUUCCGGUAUUCUUCUAACCUGUGUGCUUUAUGAUCAGUUUGUUGUGCUUAGUACUGGACACUGGAGUAUACUAUCAUAUUUGGUACAAAUAAAUCUGAACUACUAUAGUUAUGAUCCACUCUAUAGUUAAUGGUGGUGGUAAUUAAUAUAUGUGGUUAAAUACUUGCGCUCCUUAGGUGGGGAGUUGAAUUUGUAUUUCCCUAAAAUAAAUUUCAGAUUUCGUAAUAGUGGUGAAGCCAGCCGGAAGAACCUCUGCGUCAUUAUUAAUUUUGGUGAUAUUUUUCUUCAUAGUGUAGAAUAAUUUUAGUGCUUAUUCCGCAAAAAAUAUGGCCUCAACUGACCCCAUAGCUUGUAUGUUGCGCCACCACUGUUUCCUAUAUCUUUUUACAUCCGUUGUUUUUAGAUCUUGAUGCAUAACUUUGACAAUAUUUAAUAGAUAUGUGUCUGUAUAAAAAAUUAUAAAUGCUAUGAUAAUUUGAUUAAUUAUGAUGAAUAAAAUGUUAUUGCUCUGACUUGAUCCCUCUAGAAUUUUCCAAAAUUUCACAUUACAGUUGUAGUAGUGCAUGCUACCUCUUGAGCACUGCAUUAGUUUUCCCUUGAAGAGGAAAGGGUGAUGCAGUAAAGCAGCGUCAGUAUUUCCCUCGGUUUUUGAGAACCAAGGUAUCAAUCCAGUAGGAGGCCACGCAUGAGUCCCUCGCACCUACACAAACAAAUAAAAUCCUCGCAACCAACGCAAUAAAGGGGUUGUCAAUCCCUUCACGGUCACUUACGAAAGUGAGAUCUGAUAGAUUUGAUAAGAUAAUAUUUUUGGUAUUUUUAUGAUAAAGAUGCAACGUAAAGAAAGCAAAAUAAAAAAAGCGCCAGAAAUAGCUUGUUGACGGGAGAUUAAAAUAGACCGGGGGGCCAUAGGUUUCACUAGUGGCUUCUCUCGAGAGCAUAAGUAUUUCGGUGGGUAGACAAAUUACUGUUGAGCAAGUGACAGAAUUGAGCAUAGUUAUGAGAAUAUCAAGGUAUGAUCAUGUAUAUAGGCAUCACGUCCGAGGCAAGUAGCCCGACUCCUGCCUGCAUCUACUACUAUUACUCCACACAUCGACCGCUAUCCAGCAUGCAUCUAGAGUAUUAAGUUCAAAAAACAGAGUAACGCUUUAAGUAAGAUGACAUGAUGUAGAGGGAUAAACUCAUGCAAUAUGAUAUAAACCCCAUCUUGUUAUCCUCGAUGGCAACAAUACAAUACGUGCCUUGCUGCCCCUACUGUCACUGGGAAAGGACACCGCAAGAUUGAACCCAAGCUAAGCACUUCUCCCAUCGCAAGAAAGAUCAAUCUAGUAGGCCAAACCAAACUGAUAAUUCGAAGAGACUUGCAAAGAUAACCAAUCAUACAUAAAAGAAUUCAGACAAGAUUCAAAUAUUGUUCAUAGAUAAACUUGAUCAUAAACCCACAAUUCAUCGGUCUCAACAAACACACCGCAAAAGAAGAUUACAUCGAAUAGAUCUCCACAAGAGAGGGGGAGAACAUUGUAUUGAGAUCCAAAAAGAGAGAAGAAGCCAUCUAGCUAAUAACUAUGGACCCGAAGGUCUGAGGUAAACUACUCACACAUCAUCGUAGAGGCUAUGGUGUUGAUGUAGAAGCCCUCCGUGAUCGAUGCCCCCUCCGGCGGAGCUCCGGAAAAGGCCCCAAGAUGGGAUCUCACGGGUACAGAAGGUUGCGGUGAUGGAAUUAGGUUUUUGGCUCCGUAUCUGGUAGUUUGGGGGUACGUAGGUAUGUAUAGGAGGAAGAAGUACGUCGGUGGAGCAACGUGGGCCCCACGAGGGCGCGCCCCCCUACCUCGUGCCUUCCUGGUAGAUUUCUUGACGUAGGGAACAAGUCCUCUAGAUAACGUUCGUUCCCAAAAUCACGUUUCCGAAGGUUUCAUUCCGUUUGGACUCCGUUUGAUAUUCUUUUUCUGUGAAACUCUGAACUAGGCAAAAAACAACAAUUCUGGGGUGGGCCUCCGGUUAAUAGGUUAGUCCCAAAAAUAAUAUAAAAGUGUAUAAUAAAGCCCAUUAAUGUCUAAAACAGAAUAUAAUAUAGCAUGGAACAAUAAAAAAUUAUAUAUACGUUGGAGACGUAUCAAGCAUCCCCAAGCUUAAUUCUUGCUCGUCCUCGAGUAGGUAAAUGAUAAAAACAGAAUUUUUAAUGUGGAAUGCUACUUGGCAUAAUUUCAAUGUAAUUCUCUUAAUUGUGGUAUGAAUAUUCAGACCCGAAAGAUUCAAGACAAAAGUUUAAUAUUGACAUAAAAAUAAUAAUACUUCAAGCAUACUAACUAAGCAAUUAUGUCUUCUCAAAAUAAAAUGGCCAAAGAAAGUUAUCCCUACAAAAUCAUAUAGUCUAGCUAUGCUCUAUCUUCACCACACAAAGUAUUUAAAUUAUGCACAACCCGGAUGACAAGCCAAGCAAUUGUUUCAUACUUUUGAUGUUCUCAAACUUUUUCAAUCUUCACGCAAUACAUGAGCAUGAGCCAUGGACAUAGCACUAUAUGUGGAAUAGAAUGGUGGUUGUGGAGAAGACAAAAAAGGAGAAGAUAGUCUCACAUCAACUAGGCGUAUCAACGGGCUAUGGAGAUGCCCAUUAAUAGAUAUCAAUGUGAGUGAGUAGGAAUUGCCAUGCAACGGAUGCACUAGAGCUAUAAGUAUAUGAAAGCUCAACAAAAGGAACUAAGUGGGUGUCCAUCCAACUCGCUUGCUCAUGAAGACCUAGGGCAUUUUGAGGAAGCCCAUCAUUGGAAUAUACAAGCCAAGUUCUAUAAUGAAAAUUUCCCACUAGUACAUGAAAGUGAUAUCAUAGGAGACUCUCUAUCAUGAAGAUCAUGGUGCUACUUUGAAGAACAAGUGUGGUAAAAGGAUAGUAACAUUGUCCCUUCUCUCUUUUUCUCUCUUUUUUUAUUUGGGUCUUUUAUUCUUUUUUUAUGGCCUCUUUUUUUUAGUCCGAAGUCUCAUCCCGACUUGUGGGGGAAUCAUAGUCUCCAUCAUCCUUUCCUCACUUGGGACAAUGCUCUAAAAAAAUGAUGAUCAUCACACUUUUAUUUACUUACAACUCAACAAUUACAACUCAAUACUUAGAACAAAAUAUGACUCUAUGUGAAUGCCUCCGGCGGUAUACCGUGAUAUGCAAUGAAUCAAGAGUGACAUGUAUGAAAGAAUUAUGAACGGUGGCUUUGCCACAAAUACAAUGUCAACUACAUGAUCAUGGAAAGCAAUAUGACAAUGAUGGAGUGUGUCAUAAUAAACUGAACGGUGGUAAGUUGCAUGGCAAUAUAUCUCAGAAUGGCUAUGGAAAUGCCACGGUAGGUAGGUAUGGUGGCUGUUUUGAGGAAGGUAUAUGGUGGGUGUAUGAUACCGGCGAAAAGUGCGCGGUAUUAGAGAGGCUAGCAAUGGUGGAAGGAAGAAAGUGCGUAUAAUCCAUGGACUCAACAUUAGCCAUAAAGAACUCAUAUACUUAUUGCAAAAAUCUACAAGUUAAUGAAAAUCUAGGGGGAUAGAUUGGUAGGAAAAGACCAUCGCUCGUCCCCGACCGCCACUCAUAAGGAAGACAAACAAUAAAUAAAUCAUGCUCCGACUUCAUCACAUAACGGUUCACCAUACGUGCAUGCUAAGGGAAUCACAAACUUUAACACAAGUAUUUCGCAAAUUCAAAACUACUCAACUAGCAUGACUGUAAUAUCACCAUCUCCAUAUCUCAAAACAAUUAUCAAGUAUCAAACUUCUCAUAGUAUUCAACACACUCAUAAGAUUUUUUUUACUAAUCUUGAGUGCCUAUCAUAAUUAAAGCAAAUUACCACGCUGUUUUGUAGGACUAUCAAAAUAAUCUAAGUGAAUCAUGAGAGAACAAUAGUUUCUAUAAAAAAAAACCACCACCGUGCUCUAAAAGAUAUACGUGAAGCACUAGAGCAAAAACUAUAUAGCUCAAAAGAUAUAAGUGAAGCACAUAGAGUAUUCUAACAAUUUCCGAAUCAUGUGUGUCUCUCUCAAAAGGUGUGUACUGCAAGGAUUAUUGUGGCAAACUAACAAAUAAAGACUUCAAAUAAUACAAGACGCUCCAAGAAAAACACAUAUCAUGUGGUGAAUAGAAAUAUAGCUCCAAGUAAAGUUACCGAUGGAAGUAGACGAAAGAGGGGAUGCCUUCCGGGGCAUCCCCAAGCUUUGGCUUUUAGGUGUCCUUAGAUUAUCUUGGGGUGCCAUGGGCAUCCCCAAGCUUAGGCUCUUGCCACUCCUUGUUUCAUAAUCCAUCAAAUCUUUCACCCAAAACUUGAAAACUUCACAACACAAAACUCAGCAGAAAAUCUCGUGAGCUCCGUUAGCAAAAGAAAACAAAACACCACUUCAAGGUACUGUAAUGAACUCAUUAUUUAUUUAUAUUGGUGUUAAACCUAAUGUAUUCCAACUUCUCUAUGGUUUAUAAACUAUUUUACUAGCCAUAGAUUCAUCAAAAUAAGCAAACAACACACGAAAAACAUAAUCUGUCAAACACAGAACAGUCUGUAGUAAUCUGUAACUAACGCAAUUUUCUGGGACUCCAAAAAUUGACCCAAAAUAGGAAGACCUAGACAAUUUUUUUAUUGAUCAGCAGCAAUUGGAAUCAAUAUUUUAGCACGUCCUGGUGAUUUUUAACAAUUAUUUUCAUGAACAGAAAGUUUCUGGAAUUUUCAGCAAGAUCAAAUAACUAUCAUCCUAGAAGAUCCUAUAGGUUAAACAUGGCACAAACACUAAUUAAAACAUAAAAACACAUGUAACCAGAGGCUAGAUCAAAUAUUUAUUCCUAAAAAAAAGAAAAAAGCAAAAAAACUAAAAAUAAAAUUGGGUUGCCUCCCAACAAGCGCUAUCGUUUAACGCCCCUAGCUAGGCAUAAUAGCAAGGAUAGAUCUAGGUAUUGCCAUCUUUGGUAGGCAAUCCAUAAGUGGCUCUCAUAAUAGAUUCAUAAGGUAAUUUUAUUUUCUUUCUAGGGAAGUGUUCCAUGCCUUUCCUUAAUGGAAAUUGGAAUCUAAUAUUCCCUUCCUUCAUAUCAAUAAUUGCACCAAUCGUUCUAAGGAAAGGUCUACCAAGAAUAAUAGGACAUGAAGGAUUGCAAUCUAUAUCAAGAACAAUAAAAUCUACGGGCACAUAAUUCCUAUUUGCAACAAUAAGAACAUCAUCAAUUCUUCCCAUAGGUUUCUUAAUGGUGGAAUCCGCAAGGUGCAAGUUUAAAGAGCAAUCAUCAAAAUCACGGAAACCUAGCAAAUCGCACAAAAUCUUUGGAAUCGUGGAAACACUACCACCCAAAUCACACAAAGCAUAGAAUUCAUGAUCUUUAAUUUUAAUUUUAGUAGUAGGUUCCCACUCAUCAUAAAGUUUUCUAGGGAUAGAAACUUCCAACUCAAGUUUUUCUUCAUAAGAUUGCAUCAAAGCAUCAACGAUAUGUUUAGUAAGGCUUUAUUUUGACUAUAAUCAUGUGGAGAAUUUAGCACGGAUUGCAACAAGGAAAUACAAUCUAUCAAAGAGCAAUUAUCAUAAUUAAAUUCCUUGAAAUCCAAAAUAGUGGGUUCAUUAAUAUCUAGAGUUUUGAUUUCUUCAAUCCCACUUUUACCAAUUUUUGCAUCAAGAUCUAAAAACUCUGAAUUUUUGGAACGCCUUCUAGGUAGAGGUGGAUCAUAUUCAGUCCCAUCAUUAUCAAGAUUCAUAUUGCAAAACAAAGAUUGAAUAGGGGACACAUCAAUAACUUUUAGAUCUUCAUCUUUAUUUUCAUAGAAACUAGAAGAACACGCUUUCACAAAACAAUCUUUCUUAGCACGCAUCCUAGCGGUUCUUUCUUUGCACUCAUCAAUGGAAAUUCUCAUGGCCUUGAGAGACUCAUUGAUAUCAUGCUUAGGAGAAAUUGUAUCAGCGUUCCUAGCCAAUUCAUCAACUUUAAGCAAUUUUUCUUGAAGCAAAGCGUUGAAAUUGUUUUGCGAAUUCAUAAAUUCUUUAACACUAGUCUCAAAUUCAGAAGGCAUCUUAUUAAAAUUUACAUAAUAAUUGUUGUAGGAAUUACCAUAAUUAUUAGAGGAAUUACUAGGAUACGACCUUGGAUUAAAGUUUCCUCUAUACGCGUUGUUACCAAAAUUAUUCCGACCAACAAAAUUCACAUCCAUAGAUUCAUUAUUAUUCUCAAUCAAAGUAGACAAAGGCAUAUCAUUAGGAUCAGAAGAAACACUUUUAUUAGCAAAUAAUUUCAUAAGUUCAUCCAUCUUACACUCAAAACAUUAAUUUCUUCUAUCGCAUGCACUUUUUUAUUAGUGGAUUUUUCGGUGUGCCAUUGAGAAUAAUUAACCAUAAUAUUAUCUAGGAGUUUAGUAGCUUCUCCUAAAGUGAUUUCCAUAAAAGUGCCUCCCGCGGCCGAAUCUAAAAGAUUUCUAGAAGAAAAAUUCAAUCCGGCAUAAAAAUUUUGUAUAAUCAUCCACAAAUUCAAACCAUGAGUAGGGCAAUUACGUAUCAUUAAUUUCAUCCUCUCGCAAGCUUGUGCAACAUGUUCAUGAUCAAGUUGCUUAAAAUUCAUAAUAUCGUUUCUGAGAGAGAUGAUCUUAGUGGGAGGAAAAUACUUAGAGAUAAAAGCAUCUUUGCACUUAUUUCAAGAAUCACUACUAUUUUUAGGCAAAGACGAAAACCAAGCUUUAGCACGAUCUCUAAGCGAAAAAGGAAAUAGUUUCAAUUUAACAAUAUCAUUGUCCACAUCUUUCUUCUUUUGCAUAUCACACAAAUCAACGAAGUUGCCAUGUCUAGGAAUGCUUGAAGCUUCAAAGAUUUCCUAUAAUACAACAUGCCUCUAACUAUUCACAAUAAGAAAAACAUGUAAAUGCGGAAUCAACCAAAUGAUGGUAAAUUGUAGUUGAUUUUGGCCAAGCAAACGUCAGAUGAAAGAAACAUACAUGAGUGAACAUCACUAUUGGAUGUUUUAUUCAAAUUUAAUAGGUUAAACUCACCAAAUCCAUCUGGAUAUUUAGUAUUAAACUUCAACAGAUGGUCAGUUGUAGCUAGAUUCACACCACUGAAGCAAAAUUCCAUCUGCCACGGUUACAUCACACCAUCUUUUCAUCGUUACUAUUUAAAUUCCAAAUGCCUGCAACUCAUUUUUUUUGUUACGAUGUAUGCAUGAUUUUUAACUCAAGAGGAAGAGGGGAAACUAAAUCCAAGAAAAGAACACCAAGGAAGCAUCCAAAAUAGAGAAAGGAAAAAAAUCCAAAAUAGAGGCAGAAUCGAAGGGAAGAAACCCCAUAAAAAAUAGGAGAUCAAACGGUGAAAAAAAUCUAAGAGUCAAACAAUUCUAGGUAAGACCAAAUCGACGGCAAAAUAGCACAAGAGGGACUCACAUUAACAGGUAUACCAGGUAUACCAAUUUAGAAAGAAGUGUAAAGCGAACAGUGCAAUGGACCACUAGUAUAAAUUGGAUGUACACAAACAUGGGACUUAAACAAGAACUGCGAGAUGCAGGGUUCACGUGCAAACCCAAAAAAUGGAAAACUGAAACCCACAACAAGAUUUUAUCUUCAUAUAUAUAUAUAUAUAUAUAUAUAUAUAUAUAUAUAUAUAUAUAUAUAUAUAUAUAUAUAUAUAUAUUCAAGGCUCGCCCUAUCUAUUAGUUGCUUCUUCCGAAUCCCCACCUAUCAAGCGUUUUCUCUGAAUAAACAAACACAAUAGUAUUCUUUGAAUUAUACUGUACAACGGUAAUUAACCAAGCGACUGGAAUUAACAAUAUUAUGAGCUAUUGGCUUUUUAGUCAGGUAAAUAUCAUUCUUAAGACUACGGAAAACAACAGGCGGCGAAGAAAACAUCUAUUUAUGAGAACUAUACACAUACUUAAGAAGGAAGUGACAUCUAUGGUAGCAGAACAUAUAUCAAGCUGUUGCAGCUACAUUAGCAGUUUAGCACAGUUCCUCCAUAAUACACAGGCUAGUGUAAUUUCACAAAUACAAUAAGCUAACAAUAUAUAUUUGGUAGAUGGAAAUGGCUGGAUCAUGAGCAAUAUACCAUUACACAUCCGAUGAUGCAAAUAAAGAAACGAGGCCCAACAAUAGUGGAAAAUAAACCACAAUAGAACAUGUAUUUGGCGAAACCUCCAUACUGCAAUAUCAAACAUGAAUUGAAAUUAACAAUCUAGCAAAAAAACAUGACAGAUGCAGUCUUGGUCAUUUUUCCUUUUGUGACAUCCCCUAAAAAAAGUAAAAACAAUGUUGUUCGUAUUUUACCAGAGAUACACUGAGCUGGGACAAAUCGGUCUGAAAUAAAAUAUGAUGGCUUCGGAGGAUUCGGAAGGCAAGAAAUUUGCUUUCUUCCAACAUAUAUGGUCUGCUGAACUAAACUUCGUUUCAACGGGCUUUGGCAAAAAUCUGUAACUGCAAACAUCAACUUGUGUGCCCUUCCUACGUCAAACUUUAAACUUGACGGAUUAAAUAUUUUAGGUUAGGCUGAGAUCAGUGUACUUUAUGAGUGUUAAGUGUACUUUCUAAAUAGCAGAGAAACCAUAACAUCUAAGCACAACCCAGCAACUUGUACAAGCUAACAUCAAAUCUGAAAGAGGAAAUGUCGAGAACAGGUGAAGGUACCAUGAUCCACGACUGAGCAAAGUUAUCUAUAAUCCUCGGUGAAUAUCAUAAAUUAGGAUCAACUACGCUAAAGAACAAACGGGAAAGGAACCUAGAAAGAUCUUCUGCCGGUAGAAUAUAACUGAUACACUAUCCUCGUUCUCGAGAUCAAGGUCGUUUCUUGAAUUGCAGUUUCCUCACUGUAGUAUGGGGUCAUUACACUGUGAAGAACAAAGUGUCAUAUGAAUCAUUUAGAGCCCAAUCUUUUUCACUGAAACUCUUAUGAUCACAUAACGAAUUUAAACAUAAGGUUUAUUAGAUAUUUGUUGUUGUGAACAGAUAAUAUAUUUCUGGUGUUGACAAUGUUUUGAUUAUGGAUGCACUUCAAGAUGGGUGGCACAGAUUCUGUUGUACAGGCCUCCACCUGGAAUUUCAUCACUUGUUAUUUUUGUUUUAGAAUGUCUAGGUGCAUUUUUCCUUUAAGGUGGAAACAGAUGUACUUGUAUAAGCAACAAGAAUACAAAGCGCCACUGCCAUACAUUGUGGAAGUUCAGUGCUUCUGUUUACAAAAUCUGCUUCCCAAAACAGAAGGAUUUAUAAUUUUUUAUUACAAUCAAGCGGACAUGAGCUGAUGAGUACAGAUGUAGACAUGUACUGAGAGCAGCACCCUUUCAAAAGUGGAUCAUUUACAAGUUGGAUAGUUUGAUGGUCUGAAAUUAGUGGUCGUGUUUCAGAAUUGUUAUCGAAUAGUAGGGGAUAUAUAUUAAAUUCUGAAAUUAGUGGUUGUUUGUCAGAACUGUUAUCGAAUAACAGAGCACAUAUAUUAACUUCAAUAAGUGGAGUAAUAUCUUUGGAUUCGCUGUGAGGAAAGAUUACCAAAACAAAACAGAAGUGAGCACUGGUAGAAAAUGGGCCUUUAGUCCCGGUUCGCAAAGGCCAUUAAUCCCGGCUGUGCAACCGGGACUAAANNNNNNNNNNNNNNNNNNNNNNNNNNNNNNNNNNNNNNNNNNNNNNNNNNNNNNNNNNNNNNNNNNNNNNNNNNNNNNNNNNNNNNNNNNNNNNNNNNNNNNNNNNNNNNNNNNNNNNNNNNNNNNNNNNNNNNNNNNNNNNNNNNNNNNNNNNNNNNNNNNNNNNNNNNNNNNNNNNNNNNNNNNNNNNNNNNNNNNNNNNNNNNNNNNNNNNNNNNNNNNNNNNNNNNNNNNNNNNNNNNNNNNNNNNNNNNNNNNNNNNNNNNNNNNNNNNNNNNNNNNNNNNNNNNNNNNNNNNNNNNNNNNNNNNNNNNNNNNNNNNNNNNNNNNNNNNNNNNNNNNNNNNNNNNNNNNNNNNNNNNNNNNNNNNNNNNNNNNNNNNNNNNNNNNNNNNNNNNNNNNNNNNNNNNNNNNNNNNNNNNNNNNNNNNNNNNNNNNNNNNNNNNNNNNNNNNNNNNNNNNNNNNNNNNNNNNNNNNNNNNNNNNNNNNNNNNNNNNNNNNNNNNNNNNNNNNNNNNNNNNNNNNNNNNNNNNNNNNNNNNNNNNNNNNNNNNNNNNNNNNNNNNNNNNNNNNNNNNNNNNNNNNNNNNNNNNNNNNNNNNNNNNNNNNNNNNNNNNNNNNNNNNNNNNNNNNNNNNNNNNNNNNNNNNNNNNNNNNNNNNNNNNNNNNNNNNNNNNNNNNNNNNNNNNNNNNNNNNNNNNNNNNNNNNNNNNNNNNNNNNNNNNNNNNNNNNNNNNNNNNNNNNNNNNNNNNNNNNNNNNNNNNNNNNNNNNNNNNNNNNNNNNNNNNNNNNNNNNNNNNNNNNNNNNNNNNNNNNNNNNNNNNNNNNNNNNNNNNNNNNNNNNNNNNNNNNNNNNNNNNNNNNNNNNNNNNNNNNNNNNNNNNNNNNNNNNNNNNNNNNNNNNNNNNNNNNNNNNNNNNNNNNNNNNNNNNNNNNNNNNNNNNNNNNNNNNNNNNNNNNNNNNNNNNNNNNNNNNNNNNNNNNNNNNNNNNNNNNNNNNNNNNNNNNNNNNNNNNNNNNNNNNNNNNNNNNNNNNNNNNNNNNNNNNNNNNNNNNNNNNNNNNNNNNNNNNNNNNNNNNNNNNNNNNNNNNNNNNNNNNNNNNNNNNNNNNNNNNNNNNNNNNNNNNNNNNNNNNNNNNNNNNNNNNNNNNNNNNNNNNNNNNNNNNNNNNNNNNNNNNNNNNNNNNNNNNNNNNNNNNNNNNNNNNNNNNNNNNNNNNNNNNNNNNNNNNNNNNNNNNNNNNNNNNNNNNNNNNNNNNNNNNNNNNNNNNNNNNNNNNNNNNNNNNNNNNNNNNNNNNNNNNNNNNNNNNNNNNNNNNNNNNNNNNNNNNNNNNNNNNNNNNNNNNNAUAUAGAGCUCAAAUGAUUGAAAAUAAUUACUUUUGCAGCAUUUUUCUCAUGUCGGCCCAACGCUUUGGAUCCGAAUCCAUAGAGUCCAUGAUUAGAACUCUGGAGGUGUGAAGUUCAAUAUUUAGCAGAAUCCAGUGGAACCUGCGGACACGUUACAUGCACAGUCAUGCAUAACUCAUCGAUUAGACAUACCAUGCAUGGAGUAAACAAAAGAGAAUGGGCACAAGAGAGAAACACUCACCCAAAAUGGUAAGGAAAUAGAAUAUGACUUUUGAGUUGAUGCUUUCUAAGAAACUUGUACAAGUCUUUCUCCAUGUCUUCGGGGUGAUUUUGUAACACAUGUCCAUUAACGAUAUGUGGGUCAAUGAACCCAACAUCAUGGAUGUUUCUUAUUUUGCAUUCCCAAAUCUUCAAUCUGCAUAAUAGCGUACGCAACAAUAUAGUUAGGACAAUAUAUAUAUAUAUAUAUAGUGCAGGCAAUGAAGAACGAGAUGAGGUAGAAAUAAAUCACUUACAUAACGUAGCAACUCAGGAUAGAUUUGUCGAGCUCGCGCAGAUUGAACAGCUGGAACAAUUCACUCAUAUGAACUUGUACAAAGUACCGUUUGGUGUGAUGCUCCUCUGUAACAUCCGCAUAAAUAUAUUCUUUGUCGGCCCAUGUUAUGAAUUGCUUGUACCAACGUAGAAGAUUUCGCAUUUGUGGUGGUAGACUCUUUUCCCGUGCAGGCUCGACGAGAGGCCCAUUCCGCACAUAUUGUAAUGCUAUCUCACAUACUGGCGCAUCCUCAAGGCCUAAGAUGGCACGAAGAGUCAAACCCAUCUCGGACGUUUGUUUCAUGGCACUCGCUACAGUCAAUCCAAGUGCUGCCGCAGCUCCUAUGAUCUCGGGGUCCUCUUCCGGACCGGCUUUCACUAUGAGCGGGGGGAUCGAUUGUUUAUUCUGCAUCCCGAGCUGGUCAACUUGUUUCCCGCUUUUUUUACUUUCUUCUUUCUCCUCCUUCAAUAUUUUUGCUUGCCAACGAAGUUCAUGUCAAUAGUCGUCAGGCAUAUUCAGCUCGGCUUGGGACGGUGUCGUCAAAAAAUCCUUAGCCCACUUCUUUUGCUUCUCAGUGAAUACUUGCUUGGGCUCAGGCUCUUUUUUCGAAUUCGUAUCCGCCUUCCAUUUCUCAUAAUGAGCAGACGCGGCCAAUUUGGUUUCAGCUUCACUAAGUUCCCAAGGCCUUGGGAGGAGAGGCUUCAGUGAUGGCUCCGGUACCCUUGUGGUCUUACGUACAUAAGGGUCCGGGUUAAUAGUCCAGGAGAGGGUUUCCUUGCUGUCCGCCUGCUUCUACUUCUUCGCCGGAGGUGGAUUGGGGGGCGUCGUACCCGCCGGAGGAGGAUUGGGGGGCGUCGUACCUGCCGGAGGAGGAUUGGGGGGCGGCGGCUGCUUACCCGCCGGAGGUUGUGGAUCGGGGGACGGCGUCGAAUGGCGUGAAGGAGGUGUAGGUGAACCACCACGACCACCACCACCACCACCACCAUCGGAGGGGGUGGACUUGUUAGCAUUGGCGCCUCGCCUGGAAACACUAUGUACUUCUUUUUCCAUAGAAUGAUCUGGCGCUUGACAUCUCCAAGUCUUCUCUCCCCUUCGGGUGUAGCUUUGUCAAUCUCCAGGUCCUCAAACUAUUGGACUAUGUCUUCCACCGUGACACGAGCAUAGCCAUAUGCAAUGGGGUUGUUGUGGUGGAGUGCUCCAGGUGUACAGGGUAAAGCACUGCCAGUAGCUACCUUCGUGGAAACGUUCCCCACGGGAUAAUGCAGAUCACAUUCUUUCAUCUCCUUUACAUCAUCCACGGGGUAGUGAGGCUCCGGUGCACGAAUCUCGAUCAUCGGUGCAUUAGCACCAGGCGGGGCAUCCGUGGAAGCCACGCUGCUUCUCCGCUGCUGGCUUCCGCGAUCCGCUUCAUGAUCUUCAUGCGGCCCUGCAGCCGAUUUUUCUUUUACUAGUUCAUGCACGGUCUGCUUCAACUCAUGGAGUUCCGAUGCAAACUUCACCAAAAGAUCUGCAUCCCGGUCCGUCUUUCUCUUACGGCUUCUGUAACAGUACGGGUCAUUGUCCUGGGAAAACCCUACUUUCCACGAAAUUCUGCCUUUGCCUCGUACACGUCCUCCGUGUUCAUCAUUCCGAGGGCUGUUGUCAGUGCGUCUUUCUCUCUGUUGAACUUGAUCAAGCCCUCUUGAGCUUGGGUCAUUGCGUCAAUAAGGGCUUGGGUGGGAGCAAACUUUUUCUUCCGGUGAACACACACCCCUGUCUCCGGGUCUAGCGAUCCCCCAUGCCCGUACCACCAGCUUUUGGCCCUUGGGUCCCAUCCCUCUGUACCUAGAGGGAUUCCUCGCACCCUCAGGUCCUCCUCCAUCUUCUGCCACUUAGGCUCCGAAAGGCGGUAUCCUCCUGGCCCCAUAAUAUGAUGGAACUUUUUCUUACUCGCAUUAUCCUUAUUUUUUCCGACAUUUCCUUGAAAUGCUCUGAUUUUUUUUGCCUCACAAAUUCUGGCCAAUCAUCUUUCAGUUUCUCAUGUUGUCCAUUGAAAUCCGGAGUCUUGCCCUUGUUGACAUAGUCACGGGUUAAAUUUUUCUUGAAGUUCCGGAAUGCUUCGCCCAUCUUCUCAAGAGCGAACUCUUUAACUAGCCUCCUCCUCUCACGUCCACCCGGAACCUCGUUACCGAAUUCAUCGACUUUGUUGUAUUCCGGAGGUAGAAUGAAAUGUUCCAUAAGCUUUUUCCAGCAAUCCUUUUUCGUUCUCUUGUCGACAAAACUGAAACCAAGACGUGCCUUCUUUGGCUCCUUCCAUUCCUGGACGGUGAUCGGGACGUUGUCUCUAACAACGACUCCACAUUGGUUGAUAAACUUUGAGGUGUGCUGUAGGGGCUUGCCGGUUUCACUGACAAAAUCAAUGGCAUAUGUUUCUCCUUUUUUCAUCGCCUUGGAUUUGCCACGCUUUGUCGUACUCGAUCCGGCCGAGGGUCGCGCACGUUAAUACAUAUGUAUUCGCAUUUCAGUAAGUUUGUAUCACGAGAGGCUCAAUGUAUAUAUAUACCUCGCCGGAGGUGGUUGCUACUUGCAAUUCGAGAUUGUCGUUUGUUGACGGUUGACCUCCGUUGACAAUGUCCGUUCCUUCACCUUCUUGAUCAUCGACAAUGUCUGUUCCACCGUCAAGGUUCAGAAAAGAAGAGACUACAUCCUCUUCUUGCUCAUAUUCUGAGCCCGGCACAUAAGGAAUCUCGUUGUUUAUGAUGCCCAUUAAAUAACGUUCAGCCUCCGGAUCCCUAAGCGGCUCGGCUCUAUCGUCCGCCAUAUGUCACUCCUGCAUGUAGUCAAAAUUAAUUAAGUAUAAAGGAAUUAAAAAAUAAGAUUAAGGGGACAUAGAGGAGGAGCAGCUACGGUUGAAUGAUUAAGAGCUAUUAAAAAAUAAAAUUGAUGUUUUUCCUUUUCUUUUUCCUUUUCUUUUUCCUCUCUACUCUCUCUUUCCUUUUCUUUUUCCUUUUCUUUUCCUUUUCUUUUUCCUUUAUACAAUUAUUCCCAAAUAAAUUUCCUUUUCUUUUUCCUUUUCUUUUUCCUCUCUGCUCUCUCUUUCCUUUUCUUUUUCCUUUUCUUUUUCCUUUAUACAAUUAUUCCCAAAUAAAUUUCCUUUUCUUUUUCCUUUUCUUUUUCCUCUCUGCUCUCUCUUUCCUUUUCUUUUUCCUUUUCUUUUUCCUUUUCUUUUUCCUCUCUACUCUCUCUUUCCGUUUGUUGACGGCAGGCGGCGGCGGGAGGCAGAGGAGGGCAGGCCNNNNNNNNNNNNNNNNNNNNNNNNNNNNNNNNNNNNNNNNNNNNNNNNNNNNNNNNNNNNNNNNNNNNNNNNNNNNNNNNNNNNNNNNNNNNNNNNNNNNNNNNNNNNNNNNNNNNNNNNNNNNNNNNNNNNNNNNNNNNNNNNNNNNNNNNNNNNNNNNNNNNNNNNNNNNNNNNNNNNNNNNNNNNNNNNNNNNNNNNNNNNNNNNNNNNNNNNNNNNNNNNNNNNNNNNNNNNNNNNNNNNNNNNNNNNNNNNNNNNNNNNNNNNNNNNNNNNNNNNNNNNNNNNNNNNNNNNNNNNNNNNNNNNNNNNNNNNNNNNNNNNNNNNNNNNNNNNNNNNNNNNNNNNNNNNNNNNNNNNGCAGGGCAGGGCAGGGGCGGCGGCGGCAGUGCAGGGCAAGGGCGGCGGCGUAGGGCAGGGGAAGUGGGGGGCGGCGGAGCUCACUGGGGGCAGGGCGCUGGUGUCGGGGCAGGGCGUCGGCGUCGAUCGGCGUCGGGGCAGCAGCCUGGCGGCGUCGGCGUCGAUCGGCGUCGGGGCAGGGCGUCGGCGUCGAGAGGAGAAUGAGAGGUGGGGGAAAAUUUACUAAGUGUUAUAUAUAUAGACAGAGCAUUAGUCCCGGUUGGGGACGCCAACCGCGACUAAAGGUACCUUUAGUCGCGGUUGGUCUCCCCAACCGGGACUAAAGGUUCUUUCGCGCCGCUUUCGUUCCCGCGCGGAAAGAGCCUUUAGUCGCGGUUCGUGUCACGAACCGCGACUAAAGGUCCUUUUUCAUAUACUUUUCAGAAAAUACAAAUAAUAUAUCAAAAAAUUCAGAAAAAUAAAACUAAUUCAUUUUAAAAUCUUAAAAAUAGAAAUAAUAUAUCAAAAAAUUCAGAAAAAUAAAANNNNNNNNNNNNNNNNNNNNNNNNNNNNNNNNNNNNNNNNNNNNNNNNNNNNNNNNNNNNNNNNNNNNNNNNNNNNNNNNNNNNNNNNNNNNNNNNNNNNNNNNNNNNNNNNNNNNNNNNNNNNNNNNNNNNNNNNNNNNNNNNNNNNNNNNNNNNNNNNNNNNNNNNNNNNNNNNNNNNNNNNNNNNNNNNNNNNNNNNNNNNNNNNUUAAAAUCUUAAAAAUAGAAAUAAUAUAUCAAAAAAUUCAAAAAAAUAAAACUAAUUCAUUUGAAAAUCUUAAAAAUACAUAUAAUAUAUCAAAAAAUUCUGAAAAAUAAAACUAAUUCAUUUUAAAAAUUCAGACCGAUUGUUUUGUUCUACAUCCUCGAUCCCUUGAAGGUUUGACAAAAGGUUUGAUACAUCAUUCAGUUCAUCGGCCAAAUACAAAUCAUCCGGAUUCGCCAUCGUACGUUUUAAUUCACAUGAUCCAUUCAACAAAGUUUGGUACAAUAAAUUAUUACACAUCAAUUCUUCCCGUGUGUCCCUGCUUGCUUACGAUUGUGCCGUAUCCAUGGAGCAUCCUCAUCAUUUAACUUAAUGCUUGGGUCAGUGUUCACUUUGAAGGGCGGAAUUUCACCAAACAUAUUAUAAUCUUCUGACAUGUCUGUCUUGUCCUCCACUCCCACAAUGUUUCUUUUCCCUGAAAGAACAAUGUGGCGCUUUGGAUCAUCGCAUGAUGUACUGAUCGUUUUCUUAUCUUUCCGUUUCCUCGGUUUGCUACUCAUGUCCUUCAAAUAAAAAACCUGAGCGACAUCUUUGGCAAGGACGAAUGGUUCGUCAAGGUAACCAAGAUUGUUGAAAUCCACCAUUGUCAUUCCGUAUUGCUCGUCCACCUUUACCCCACCUCCUGUUAGCUUGAACCAUUUGCACCGGAACAAAGGGACCUUAAAGGAGGGUCCAUAGUCAAGUUCCCAUAUCUCCUCUAUGUGACCAUAAUAUGUGACCUUUUGCCCAUUCUCGGUUGCUGCAUCAAAGCGGACACCACUGUUUUGGUUGGUGCUCUUUUUAUCUUGGGCGAUGGUGUAAAAUGUAUUCCCAUUUAUCUCGUACCCUUGGAAAGUCGUUAUAGUCGAAGAUGGUGUCUUGGCCAACAUGUACAGCUGAUCUCCAACAUCAUUGUCAUUCAUUAAAUGUUUUCGCAACCAACUGCCGAAAGUCUCCAUGUGGGCCUUUCUAAUCCAGGAUUCAGGUUUCCCCGGGUUGUCCGAGCGUAAAAUAUUCUUGUGUUGCUCGAACUACGGAGCCACCAAGCUGGAAUUUUGUAGAACUGUGUGGUGUGCUUCAGUCAUAGAAUGACCGUCCAUACAUAUCGUUGAUUUCCUUCCGAUCGUGCCUUUUCCACUUAGUCUCCCCUCGUGCCGCGAUUGAGGAAUACCAAUCGGCUUAAGGUCAGGAACAUAGUCAAUACAGAACUCAAUUACCUCCUCAUUUCCAUAGCCCUUGACGAUGCUUCCUUCUGGCCUAGCACGGUUACGAACAUAUUUCUUUAAUACUCCCGUGAACCUCUCAAAGGGGAACAUAUUGUGUAGAAAUACAGGACCGAGAAUGGAAAUCUCUUCGACUAGGUGGAGCAGGAGGUGCGUCAUAAUAUCGAAGAAGGAUGGUGGGAACACCAACUCAAAACUGACAAGGCAUUGGACCACAUCGUUCUGUAACCGUGGUAGAUCUUCUGGAUUGAUUACCUUCUGAGAGAUUGCAUUGAGGAAUGCACAUAGCUUCACAAUGGCUACUCGAACAUUUUCCGGUAAGAGCCCCCUCAAAGCAAUCGGAAGAAAUUGCGUCAUAAUCACGUGGCAGUCGUGAGACUUCAGGUUUAGGAACUUUUUGUCCGCCAUGUUUAUUAUUCCCUUUAUAUUCGACGAGAAGCCAGACGGGACCUUCAUACUGCUCAGGCAUUCAAAAAAUGACCUUCUCUUCUUUGGUAAGAGCGUAGCUGGCACGACCUUGAAACCAUUCCGGAUGCCGGUCAUCUGGGUCUUUCAAAAGUUGUUGGUCCUGCCGUGCUUCCUUUGUAUCAUUUGUCUUCCCAUACACGCCCAAGAAGCUUAGCAGGUUCACGCAAAUAUUCUUCGUAACAUGCAUCACGUCGAUUGCAGAGCGGACAUCUAGGACUUUCCAAUAUUCUAGCUCCCAAAAUAUAGAUUUCUUCUUCCACAUGGGUGCGUGCCCGUCAACUCCCCGCGGAACUGAUUGUCCGCCAGGACCCUUUCCAAAGAUGACUUUCAAAUCCUUGACCAUAUCAAAUAUCUCAGCACCAGUACGUUCCGCAGGCUUCGGCCGGUGAUCUGCCUUGCCGUUGAAAUGCUUGCCUUUCUUUCUUACGUUAUGAUUUCGGGGAAGAAAUCGACGAUGACCCAGGUACACGUUCUUCUUACAAUUACCCAAACGUACACUUUCAGUCUCAUGUAAGCAGUGCGUGCAUGCAUUGUAUCCCUUAUUUGUCUGUCCCGAAAGGUUACUGAGAGCAGGCCAAUCGUUGAUGGUUACAAAAAGCAACGCUCGUAGGUCAAAUUCCUCUUCUUUGUGCUCAUCCCAGACACGUACACCAGCUCUGCCCCACAACUGUAAAAGUUCAUCAACUAAUGGCCUUAGGUACACAUCGAUGUCGUACCCGGGUUGCUUUGGACCUUGGAUGAGCACUGGCAUCAUAAUGAACUUCCGCUUCAUGCACAACCAAGGAGGAAGGUUGUAGAUGCAUAGAGUCACGGGCCAGGUGCUAUGGCUGGAGCUCUGCUCGCCAAAAGGAUUCAUGCCAUCAGUACUUAGACCAAAUCUUAUGUUCCUUGCGUCAGCUGCAAAAUCUUUGAACACUCUGUCGAUCUUUCUCCAUUGCGUUCCAUCAGCGGUGUGUCCCAACUCCCCGUCGGACUUACGGUCCUCUUUGUGCCAUCGCAACGACUUGGCAUGCUUUUUGUUCCUGAACAGACGUUUCAACCGUGGUAUUAUAGGAGCAUACCACAUCACCUUGGCGGGAACCCUCUUCCUGGGUUUCUCGCCCUCAACAUCGUCACCAGGGUCAUCGCCUCUGAUCUUAUAACGCAAUGCAGUGCAUACAGGGCAUUCAUUCAAAUUCUCGUAUUCACCGCGGUAGAGGAUGCAGUCGUUAAUGCAUGCAUGUAUCUUCAGAACCUCUAAACCUAGAGGGCAGACAACCUUCUUUGCUUCGUACGUACUGGCGGGCAACUCGUUAUUCUUCGGAAACAUAUUCUUCAACAUUUUCAGCAAAUUUUCAAAUGAUGAGUCAGCUACACCUUCCUGUGCCUUCCAUUUUAGCAAAUCCAGUGUGCAACCCAACUUUUUCAGACUAUUAUCGCAUCCUGGGUACAACGACUUUUUGUGAUCCUCUAACAUGCGAUCCAAAUUCUCCCUCUCCUUGUCAGUUUCGCAGCGUCUCCGUGCAUCAGCAAUGGUCCGACCAAGAUCAUCAGCGGGCUCAUCAUGUGCCUCUUCUUCACCUUCACCUAACCCUUCCCCACCUUCAGCAUCAUCCUCCAUGAAAGUAUCACCGAAAUGAUCAUGAUAGUUGUCAUCGAUAUCAUCCCCUUCUUCAUCUUGUUCCAUUCUAACCCCUCUUUCUCCAUGCUUGGUCCAACAAUUAUAGCUUCGCAUGAAACCGUGCCGAAGCAGGUGCAUGUGAACGUCUCUUGAGGAGGAGUAACCCUUCUGAUUCUUACAGACACCACAUGGACAGAUAAUAAAACCUCGCUGCUUGUUCGCAUUUGCCACUACGAGGAAAUCUUUCAAACCCGUAGUGAACCGCCGGAGAGUCGGGGACCGUACAUCCAUUGCCGAUUCAUCUGCAUUAUUAUUAUAUAAAGUAUAUAAUUAACCAUCAUGCAUUUGUUAAACUAACUAGCUAGAAAUAAUACAAAUUAAACAAUGAACUACACACAUCCAUAUUUUAUCAAUGACACAUGAAAGGUUCAAGUUGCUAACCGCGAUCGCGGAGGAAAAAUAAAUGAGAAAGCUCAAGUGUGGCUCGGACACUUCAUAUCAUGUUUGUUUCAUGCUCUCGGGCAUUUCAUCGAACACCUUGUGUGCAUAGGAGGAACCAAAAGCAAACCCACCAGCCCCCUUCUGAAUUGUGGCUAAGUGAAGUGAGCUGAGUCCUAUAUAUAGGGAUGGGCCUUUAGUCCCGGCUGGCCUGGCCAACCGCAACUAAAGGCCUUCGGGCCAGCCUGAGGACCUUUAGUCCCGGUUGGCCAGGCCAACCGGGACUAAAGCCCCUCCCGUCCGCCAGCUGUCGACCGAGCGCGCUGGGCCCAGAUAGUUGGUCGCGGGUCUCCUCCCGAACCGCGACUAAAGACCCCUUUGGUCGCGGUUCGAUUAUUUUAGAGACUAAUGGGGGCGUAUGGAAGCCUCUGUUUCUACUAGUGGAGUGCGACGACCCAGAUGAGGGCGCUCUUGAGCUUCUUCCCGACCGACCUAGAUGCAGGAGCAGACCACGGCGGAUCUAAUCAGCCAACGAAUAAAACUGAGGCAGGUAGAGGAAGUAAGGGAGGAAGAAGACUGACUUGUCCUGGUCGCCCUCGUAGUAGAACCUGUGUUUUGAUUUUCGGCCAAAAAAGUGGAUUUCGGCCAUCUCGGCCUGGGGCAAAAAGUGUAUUUAGGCCGAAAUUGUUCAAAUUUAGCAAAUUUUGGUCAAAUUUAAGUCAAAUUGCAGUCAAAAUUUGGUCAAAUUUCAGCCGAAAUUUUUGAAAAUGGCCGAAAUUCGGCCAUCUCAGCCUAGGGAGAAAAAAAAGCUGAAACCAAAAAUCAAAACACAGAGUAGAACAUGGCGAACAGGAUGACGAGGACAGCGUCGAGGAUGUAGACGACGAGCCAGAGCAUGUUCAUGGGCAGGAUCAAGCAUGGGCAGGAUAAGGGUGCAGGCCCCGUUGUAGGCGGCAUGCUUGCAGGCCUGGCGGUUGGCGACGUCGGCGGGGAGCAUGAGGAUGGAGAGGACGGCGACGGUGAUGCCGAGCACGACGACGAGCUUGAGGAAGUAGGCCUGGUUGGCAUCAUCCGGGUGCUGGUAGUUGACGAGGAGCACCAGGAUGCUGACCACCGCCGCCACGAUCACUAGCGCCACGUUAAAAAAACCAUCUCCUCGGGGCUCCGGUCCCGGUUCCGGCCCGCCGCCUCGCCCCCUUGGUCGGUCAGAUCUCUCUGUCCCUAGAGGCGGGGGGAUACAGGCUAGGGUUUGGGCGUGGGCGGGGAAUAGGCUGCUAUGGUGCCGGCAGCGGGGCGUGUAGGAGAGAAGGAUUAGGAGGAAUAAUUCACCACACUUUGAUUAAGCUCUCGGCUGGUUCUUAUGUACAGAUUACAGGGCCAGCCAGGGAGAUCAUGGGGUGAUCCACUACCUGGGAUCGUGCGCCACGAUCACUACAUGCGUGCGCCACGAUCAUACACACACACGCUACACCUAGUGUCUACGCAACUACGGUAUAGCAGUACAGUACAGCCUAACACCCCCCGGAGUCGUGACGUCGGCGGCGGCGACGCAAAGACUGGACCGGAACUCAGAGAAAACAUCCGAUGGCAGGCCUUUGGUCAUGAUGUCGGUGUGUUGUUGGCGCGUGGGGAUGUGAAGAACACGGAAGUGGCCGAGGGCGACGCGCUCCCGCACGAAAUGGAUGUCCAGCUCCACAUGCUUAGUGCAGCGAUGAUGCACCGGAUUGGCUGACAGGUAGACUGCGGACACAUUGUCACAGUACACAAGUGCCGCCUUGGUCAUUGGAGCGGAGAGCUCGCCGAGAAGCUGGCGGAGCCAGAUGCAUUCAGCGACCGCGUUGGCGACGCCGCGGUAUUCAGCUUCGGCGCUGGAGCGCGAUACGGUCGCCUGGCGCUUGGAGGACCAGGAGACGAGAGCAUCGCCGAGGAAGACGCAGAAGCCCGACGUGGAGCGUCGGGUGUCGGGGCAGCCGGCCCAGUCCGCAUCGGUGAACGCACGGACGUCGAGCAUGGUCGAGGCGUGAAGAUGAAGCCCGAGUGCGCAGGUGCCCUUCACGUACCGGAGCACGCGCUUUACGAGCGCGAGGUGGCAUUCGCGCGGGUCAUGCAUGUGUAAGCAGAUUUGCUGGACGGCGUAGGCGAUCUCUGGACGCGUGAUGGUGAGGUACUGCAGGGCCCCGGCGAUGCUCCGAUAGGCCGAAGGGUCGUCGACGCAUGGCCCAUCGGCUGAGGGGAGUUUGCUCUUCGUGUCGAUGGGUGUCGGGGAAGGGCGGCAGGUGUCCAUGCCGGCGCGUUCCAGGAGCUCGUCGGCAUAUUGUUGUUGCGACAGGAAGAAGCCAGCUCGGGUGCGGGUGACGCGCAUGCCGAGGAAGAAGGCGAGCGAGCGCAGGUCCUUCAUGGCGAAUUCGCCUGUGAGGCGCUGGAUGACAUGGUGAAGCACGCGUGACGAGGACGCGGUGAGCACGAUGUCGUCGACGUAGAGGAGGAGGAACGCCAUGUCGUUGCCGUGCCGGAAGGUGAACAGCAACGAGUCCGAACGCGUAGCUGCGAAGCCAAUGGAGCGGACGAAGCCGGCGAAGUGGAGGAACCAGGCACGGGGCGCCUGCUUGAGCCCGUACAAGGACUUGGAGAGGCGGCAGACGUGCUCUGGUUUGUCGGGGUCGAUGAAUCCGGCGGGCUGGAGGCAGUAGACUUCCUCCUCAAGUUUCCGUGGAGGAAGGCAUUGGAGACGUCGAGGUGGUGCACCGGCCAGCCGCGCGACGCGGCCAUAGUGAGCACCAUGUGGAUCGUCACUGGCUUGACGACGGGGGAGAACGUCUCGCCGUAGUCGACGCCGGCACGCUGAUGAAAGCCCCGCACGACCCAGCAUGCUUUGUAGCGGGCCAGCACGCCGUCGGCGUCGUUUUUGUGCUUGAAGAUCCGCUUCCCUGUGAUCAGGUUGGCGCCGGGGGGGAGCGGGGCACCAGCUCCCACGUGCGAUUGCGCACGAGCGCAUCGUACUCAGCACACAUGGCAGCGAGCCAGUUCGGGUCGCGAACAGCAGCACGAACCGAACGCGGCACCGGCGACACCGAUGAUGAGCUAGAGGCGGUGGCCGCGUCGUAGUAGCGCGGCUUGGGGCGGAAGAUGCCGCGCUGGGCACGCGUGACCAUGGGCACAGGAGGCGCCGGUGCGCGGGGCGCCGCUGGUGGCGCGCUCGGAGACGAGCUGUCGGAGGAGCCACUGGGGAGUUGUCGGAGGAGGCGCUGGCGGAGGCGAAGACAAGCGGACCAGGCGCGGAUGGGCACGUCGAGGACGGAGCCGAGCCGCCAUCGGAAGCGCCCGCAGCGUACCGCGAGCUGACGCGGCGCGCCCCGCUGGUUGGCGAUGAUGAGCGGGGCAAGCCGGUGAUGGAGAUCAGGCGCGCCGGCAGCACGGGUGACAUGCUGCUGUCAGGCACCGGUGGAAGCGCGGGCAGCGCAGGAGGCCGGACGACGAGCGGGAUCUGCAGGUUAGAGGGUACGACGGGUGGCGUAGGCGACGGGGAAGAGGAUGCGAACGGGAAAACGUGUUCGUGGAAGAGAACGUGGCGAGACGUGAGGACGCGGCGAGAGGUGAGGUCAAAGCAGCGAAAACCACGAUGAUCGGGAGGGUACCCGAGGAAGACGCAGGCGAUAGAACGUGGCUCGAGCUUAUGGCGGGUGGUGGCGGUGACGUUCGGAUAGCAGAGGCAUCCAAAGACGCGGAGCUGCGAGUAAUUUGUGCGGGCAUGCGGUGACGUUCGGAUAGAUGCGGAGUAAUUUGUGCGACGCCGAGCAGGAGUUCAUGCGGAGUGCAGGGCGCCGAGGCGCGGCAGGGCCGACGAUUGAGCAGGUAGGUCGAGGUGUUGAGAGCCUCUGCCCAGAAGCGAGCGGGCAUGUGCGCAUGACAGAGAAGCACACGAACACCGUCGUUGAUCGUGCGGAGAACUCGCUCGUCCUUGCCGUUCUGCCGUGGCGAGCAAGCAGAGAGCGCGCGGCUGCACUGUCGAAUUCACGACCGUUGCCCGUUUCCAGUGCAAGUAUGGGUAACUGAAACUGAGUCUGAACAUAGGCAAAGAAAUCAACAAGUAUGGGAAGAACUUCAGACUUGUGUUUCAGAGGGAAAGUCCAGACAUAGUGACUGAAAUCAUCUAGUACAACUAAGUAAAACUGAUAGCCGGAUAUGCUUACAACGGGAGCGGUCCAUACAUCAAGGUGUAAAAGCUGGAAAGGAAAGAAACUAGCAGUGGUGGAUGUCUGAAACGUGUUGGAUCGAUGUCCGUGUAGCCCGCUUCUUUCUCUGUAGGAAGGACGCGGUUACGCUCGCGUUGACAUCGGAUGACUCGAUCACAUGCACGGGAGGGGCGGUACGACAUGGCACCGCCACGCCACCGUGCUCCCUCCCAGUGCCGACCUGGAGCAACUUGCCACUCCUCAGCUCGUGACCGGUGGGCUUGACGGGCCACCUAGCCAUUUUUUAUGCCAGACAACUCUUCUUCCUGCUCAUCAGAUGUCAUGGAUAAAACUGUUUAAGGAGGAAAAUGAUGAGUGGACGUGUGAUGCGGUUCUUGCCCAACAUCUGACAUUGUUUAAAUAGCGAGGGGACACGAGAGGAGCCAACUGGCGUUCUGUUUAAUGCCAACCGGCUCGUGAACGAACAUGUGGCCGGAGUAAUUAUCCUGGCACACACGAGGGUUUAAUGGUGGAAGGCGGGCAGUCUGCAGGAAUGAGGCGAGGAUGUGUGCUUAGCCGGCGUGCAGUAGGCGGCGCCCUCGGCCGGCGUGCUGCUUCCAUUGCGGAGGCAGUGAGAGGUCGCGUCCGCUCUGCAGCGCAUGAAUGCGGGCAGCUGGCGCAGAGCGGGAACGCGUGCGGGCGAGGGAGGAGGGGGUUUGGGCGGGUGGUCAGAAGAGGUCGUGGGUGUUGUCCGAACGCCUGCAAAUCCCCCCUCCAUAUUUGUCUCCAGUUUGCGGGAGAAAGUACGUCCGGACCGUCUCCAAUGGACCAAUACAGGCCCGCAUUAGAUGGCACAACACGUCCGGACCAUGUGGUCCGGAUGGUUGUGGACAGUUUAAUUGAGGGUCGGCGUUGGAGAUGCCUUAGAGUUUAUGAAUCCAUUGUGUUUUUCUAAUCAUAAAAAAGCACUUACAAUAAGUUAUAAGGAAAGACACGUUUAUAUGUUAGGUUCAGACUCCAGGUUUCGUUUUACAUAUGCUUUAUUCAUCCGACUGAUUCCAAUAGAGUGAGCCUAGCGUUGUUUUUCUGGAAACUCGCGGGAUAAGGAGACAUGCAUACACAUUCUUUCAAGCAAAUCACAUCCAUUCUUUUUAACUCAUUUUUCUUCUUUUAAUAAUAUAAUAGAUCAUUUAUAUUUUUUAUCUGAAACAGUUGACGUGUAAUUUAUAUUGUAAUCUGAGGAUAAUGUUUGGAUUUUACUUUCAAAUAUAUUUGAAAUGGCCAUGAUGGAAUCACAUCCAUUUAUUUUAUUAUUAUUUGAAUUUGAUCCAAAAGAUAAAUAAUGAGUUGAGGUCAUGUCAACUUUUCUGAGAACUUUGCUAAUCAAAAUAUAAAUUGUAUUUAAAAAAUCUAUUUUUUAGCACGCAUGAAAAACAUAACACGUAUCUUUUCACACAUAAUGAACGGUUGUCAUAAGAACUCAUGCCAUGCCACAACCUCCCUCCGACCCUGCCAACAUUGUUGCAGCUGCACUCGCAAGCCUUAGCGUAGAUGAUAAUUUAUACAAUUUGCGUAAAACAAAAUAAGAUCUACAAAUUAAUAGAAGCUAGAACGUACAUUGGCAUGCACACACAUUGCAAGCUAUACUAAGCUGAUAAGUGUUAAUAACUUGUACAACAUAUACAACACUUAAGACAAGUAAAAGCAAUUUGAUGAGUCAUGGUCUAUCAAAGCCACAUUACUAGUCUAAUCCAUCUUAACAGGUCACACAUGAUUAAAAUCUUGUUUGUGUGCAAGUCAAGCUUAUCUAGUUUACAUGUAACAACUUGUAGAACAUUAAAAAAUUUAUGUUUGCUAAUAACUUCUAGAACACUACAACACUUGACAUGUAAAAGGAAUUUGAUGAGUCAUGGCCUACUAAAGCAAGUUAUAUUACUAGUCUUAUCUACCUUAACAGGCCACACAAGAUUACAAACCAAGUUCUGUGCCAGCCAUGCUUAUCUAGUUUAUGCGUAACAAUUUGCAGAAAAUUACAAACUUAGUUUCAGAAAAAUAGGCAAUCUAGAUUAGUGUUUGAGCUAUAAAGUGAAUAAAAUGAGUCAUCUGUGUUAUCACACCUUUUUGGUUGUGGAAUGAUAGUGCAACAACAAGGAACUUUAAUGACCAGUUCAAGAAUACACUUGUAAGUAGUGCCACCGAACACAACAUACCAAAUUAUGAUUUUGAGAAGCAUCCAAGCACUUCCACACAAGCAAAUGCCAAUUGUGAAAGAGAUCAUGCCAUGGCAGCUAUAAAUAGGCCCGUAGCAUGACGAUCAUCCUUCCUCAUCCAUCAUUCUCAAAAGUAGAGCGCAUCAUUUAAGCCAAGCAAGCAGUGCUCAAUACAAAUCCACCAUGAAGACCUUUCUCAUCCUUGCCCUCCUUGCUAUUGUAGCAACCACCGCCACAAUUGCAGUUAGAGUUCCAGUGCCACAAUUGCAGCCACAAAAUCCAUCUCAGCAACAACCACAAGAGCAAGUUCCAUUGGUACAACAACAGCAAUUUCCAGGGCAGCAACAACCAUUUCCACCACAACAACCAUAUCCGCAGCCG